This 53991-nucleotide long non-coding RNA is filed under the name Populus trichocarpa (black cottonwood). Its description in RNAcentral is "long non-coding RNA (PTRI_LNC003360)". Lineage: Eukaryota; Viridiplantae; Streptophyta; Magnoliopsida; Malpighiales; Salicaceae. The record is from RNAcentral.
CCUCUCCAUCUUCAUCAUCUUCAGGUUCCAUUGUCGGCCUAGCCGAUGGCAAUGAAAAUGAUUGUUAUGAGAUUCUUCCUUGUAUACCAAAAUUAUAGGCACUCAUUGCCCAAAAAAAAAGAAAUUUUUUUUUCUAGACCUAGAAAUAUUAUGGCCCAUUCUAAAAAAUUGCAGGCCUAGCUACUCCUGUUAGCACAAGUGGUUAAACCAACAAGAUUCCAAUUCGAGUUUUCAAAACGUUGAUCCUCCAUUUAUAAGAGUGAUAAAUAACUUUCAGUGCAACAAACAACUUUUCUAACUUUUCAAAAAGCAAAUAAUUUGCUUUACGAAAUUUUCAAAAAGUCAAUCUCAACCUCCUUUAUAUAAAAAGCCUCCUUCUAAGCUUUGGAUGCAGAACUACAUAGACGAGUUUCUCUGUAGAAGGCAUCAAAUACUAUCCUUUUGUAAUUUCAUGUAACCUUUUGUAUUGCCAUCUAUUAUCCUAUAAACAUAUCCGUAUUUUUGGAUCUAAACCAUAUAACAUAUAUCUCCUAUAUUGGUUUCUAUACAAAUUUAAGUAAGAUUCCUUUAAAUCACAUUUCAACAUAUAUACAUAUAUUUAAAUUCUACUCAUUAUUCUGUAUUUACAUUUCUGCAAAAUUAAGUAUGCUCUGUGUUUGUAGAGGAUCUUGUCAUUUCUAGACUUGCAUUUUCAUUCACAUCAUAAAUUUAUUUAUAGUUUUGUAUUUUGUUUUAAAAUCAAAUAUGUCGGCCAGAAACCUGUGACCACAUUUUAAGAUCAUUCCUAGAUGUAACAACGCCAUAUGUAUAUAACAUUUAUAUUUUUUUUGUAUCCAAUAUAAUAUAUAAAUAUAUCAAUACUGACAACAUAAAGCACGUGUGUAGGAUAAACUUGAGAAUUUCCUGGUUAACUCCUGAUAUUUAAAUAUUAGCCUCACUUGUAGGUCCAAUAUUUAUACCAAAAUAUUAACCAUUAAUUCAUGAAUUAAAAAUUUAGUGAUUAUUGGAAUACUAAUCAAAUUCUAAUGGAUUAAAUAAAUUGAUUAUUAAAUUUAAAAUGCAUGUAAAGAUAUAUUUUUUGAAUUUUAUAAAACAAAUGCUAAAAUACCAUAUAUAUAUAUAUAUAUGCAAAAAUAUAAUUUUUGUAUUUUUGAGAAACCUGAUCUUAUGCAAUUUAAAAUAAAAUUGUAUUCUUUAAAAGAAAUUUUGUUUUUUUAAAAGAAAACUAAUUCAUUUAAUAUAAAAAAACACCUCACGUAUAAGUCAUCAUUACAUAUAUUAAAUAUGAGGGGUAAAAAAGAUAAAUAAUUCAAAAUUAAUUGUAAAAUAAUUUUUUAAAAUUUUUUUAAAAAUAAAUUAAGGUUUACUAGUCACGUGUAUUGGCUUCCUAGACUAACAAAAAAAAAAAAAUAUGAAGCAGGCUUGAAUAAGACUAAGCAGGCUUUAAAAAAAAUGGCCCAGGUUCGUUUAUUUUAAACGAAUUGGAAAGGCUUUUAAAAAAAAUGGCCCAGGUUCGUUUAUUUUAAACGAAUUGGAAAGGCCCAUAUUAUAGAUGUUAAUUAAUGGAUAGCUUGCAAAAUGAAAAUCUAGAAUUUCUUCAUAUUCUCAAAAUGAAAGAAAGAAAGAAGGAUACAGGUUUACCUUUUUUAGUAACAUGCGAAAUACCGAAAGCAAGCAAGAGAGAUGUUCACAUGAUGAGGGUUAACAAACUUCCAUUUCUAAAACAAAGCAUGUCCUUCGAUCAUCACUCAUGUGCAUGGAUUUUUCUAUGUUGCUACAAGUAUGAUUAUCAUUGGUUGCUUGGGUCUGGUCAAGAAUCAGCUGGAGUUUGCUGGAAUAAGUUGUUGGCCUUGGACAACUACUACUGAAGUUUGUUGCAUAAACUGAGAAGAGCUGCGACUGCUCACGUUGCUGUUGGACUGAAACUGGUGGUCUACUGCUACUCAAGUUGUUGGCCUUGGGACAGCAGAGGAAUAUCUACUGAAAUUUGAUGCUGCUCGCAGUGACUUUGGACAGUUGAGGAAUUACUGCAAACAAUGCAGAUAGCUUGCUGACAGGAGCCGAUCUUGCAUAGGAAAAUGGAGAGUAAAUUAAGGAGCUGUGGAUCUAGGAUGAGAGCUGAUGGUGUUAUUGGCGCGGUUGGUCAAUGCUAAUGGAGGGUUAGUUGUUGGGUUAAUGUUGUUCAUGGUGCAGAAAUGAAACUGGGCGUGGCUGCUGCUGCUUACAGUGAAGUUAAGAAGAGCUGGCUAUGGCUGAUGAAGAAAAAAAUUUUCUAUGGAGGCUGUUCUUCGCUGAAACAGGAGCUGAAGUUACUGUGAUUGAAAACAAAACUAGUGGUCUGCUGGGAGAAGGUUGCUUUGAUGAGAGAUGAUAGUUUUGGAAGGAAAUAUUAAUGGCUAAUGUUGGCUAACAACUAGUUUAGUGGUGAGGGUGGAAGAAUGGGACGGUAAUUUGGGAAGAUCUGUCGUGCAUGGUGGUUGAAGAAGUGAAAGGCAUCUGGGUGUGGUUGUCACUGGUGCAGAAGGAGGAAGUGCUGCUACUGCUUUCUAGAGCUCACCGUGCCUGUGGAAGAAGAAGUUGCACCGCUGGAGGAGAAGAAGUUGCAGUACCGCUGGAGGAGAAGAAGCUACACCGCUGGAUUUUAGGAGAUGACAUUCUUAUGGUUGUUACCGUCGUGGUGCCUACAGUGUUGAUGAGGAGCCGCCACCCUUGCUGGAGAACCAACGCUGGUCUUUAAUGGAGGAGCUAGUGUUGGGGAGAGCAGAGUGAAUUAUUUUUUUCUCUAAUCUUCAUGUUUACUGUUUGUCUCUUUGUUGGAGAGAAUCCUGUAGAUGGUUUGGACUUUUCUUUUCCUCUUUUCCUUGGUUUUUUUAACCAAUUCUUUCCCCUUUUCAUGUCUGUGGUAUGACCAUAUUUUUAUUAAAAAAAAUUUUGCCUUGAAAGGAAAGCAACAUCAAUUAUUAAAUUUUAAAAAUAAAUCUUAACUAUUACUUGAAGACAAAAAGCAAAGAAAAAUGGACUUUGAAUUAAAAGAAUAAUUGUAAAUCAUUUGAUUUAAAAAAUGGGAUGCUUGAUAAGAGAGUUUUCAACUUUCAAAUUGAUCAUCUUUCUUCCACAAUUAUAAUUAGAUCACUAAAAAUUAAAUGUAUUUUUUUUUCUUUUUAAUUUUAAAAUUCUUUAGAAAAGACAUCAAAAACGACACAAAUACAUCAAGAACAUAUUUUUUGGGUUUUUUGUUAUUUUUUGCAAUUUUUUAUUUUUUUUAAAAAAAAUUCAAAAAUAGGAUCGAAAUUUAGGUAGCAACAACCUUAUUUGGCAAACUUUUAUGCUGCUUGCUUGUUGUCUUUCUUGUUUUGUUUUCGUUUAUAUUAGUUGAUAUUAGAACUCAACGAUUCUUAAUGAUUAAUUAUUGUGGGCUAUUGAAUAACUAUGGCUGGAAAAGGUCGUAUAAUAAAAUGUGAUCAUGUAGUGAGGGAUAAAGAGGUUCCCUUUGGGAAAGAGAUGUUCAAGAACUUGUGAUAGUUAUAGAUAUGUGGAGAUAUAUAGCAAAAUUCACUUGUCAUAUGGUAUAGAUGAGAACCCGUAAGAAGAGUGAUCAUGGAUCCAUAUGAUUAACUCUGAAAACUUGUUUUAAAAGUGAAAACAAAAGAGAUGGCCUCUUGAUCGGGAUAUAUCAUAGGGAUUUAAAUUUUCAGAUAAAGCUGCAUGAGUUCACGAGAACCUUGCAGGCAUAGGAGUUAUUGUUUGGUUGGAUGAAGUAGAGAGGGUUUUGAGUAUAAGAAAGUAUCGGGGAAGAUAAAGGUGAAGUUAUUCAUCAUCAGAUUGAAGGUGUGAGCUUCUGUUUGGUAGAAGUAAUUGAAAAGUUCUUAGGAAAGAUAAGGCAAAUAAAAAAUAAUGAUUGGAAGAAGAUGAAGGAACAAUUUCUUUUACUAAUACUUUUUACCAAUUAUUUCAUGCAUUGAGACAAUGUUAGAGGACUAUUGAUGAGUACACUAAUGAUUUCUAUCAAUUGGUGGCAAUGAAUGAUCUAUCAUAAAUGGAAAAGCAUUGGUUAUCAAAGUACCUAACUAGAUUAUGGUGGUCUAUUUAGGGCGUGCUAUGUUUGCAAUCUUUGUUGACAAUUUUCAAAGCCUUCAAAGGGCUUUGACUAUGGAGAAAUAAACGAUUGCUAGGAGACAACAUGUUCAAAGGUAACUAAUAUAGGCGAUUUUUAGUCUAAAUAGAAUAAUAAGGGGUGCGCACUAGCAAACAUAAAUAAUUUGUUUAACCUGAAUUAACAACUAAAUAAAUUAUAGAUUAGGGUUCUAGAUUUGCUUUUUUAUUUUGAUAUUUUAAAAGUGGUGAGUUGGGGUAUCUGAUUUUUUAGUACCAUAAACUAGAGUCAUUUGGAUAAAAAUCUAUUGGUAGAAGAACAUGAUAAGAAUGUGGGUGAUCUUAUUUAUGAUGUUUUCGAUGAUAAUGAGGAGGUUUUGCAAGGUGAUAAUAAUGCUACUUUAGUUAUCCAAAAGAACUUUCUUGCUUUCAAAGAUAAUUUGAAUGAGGAUUGACUAUGAAAUAGUCUCUCUCUUUUAACUUGUGACAUUAAGGAUAAGGUAUGUAAUAUAAUCAUAUAUAGUGAUAGUUGUGAGAAUAAUUAUUGACGGAAAGAAACAAGUUAAAUGAAACUAUUGAUUCCCUUUAAAAUUUGUGGUAUAUUAAGAAGUUUGCGACCUAUUAAUUUUCUUUAAAAUAAUAGUUGUUGACGAAAAGAAACAAGAAACUUGGUGUUAAACUAAAAUUUCAAAAUGGAGGGUUAUGAUAAUAGCUAUGAUGGCAGUGGUGGCAAUGCAUGAGAUGGUUCUAGUGGAAGUGGAGAUUGAGAUAGUAUUGCUAGCGGUACAAACACACACAUCCAUGCAUGUUCAUAUCAUAAAUGUGACUGCUUAAGUAGCCUAUUAAAGCCUAAAUCCUUAUCGUUGAUCUCUUUUCCUAUUUUUAUCAAUUUGAAUAUGUAGUUUUGUGGUUGCUUUUUUAUGCUUGUACCAACUUCAUCAAAUUUAACUCCUUUCCCACCAUCCAGCUUCUUUCUAGCACUAGCAUCACCCACCACCAUUCCAGAAUCUAUAAAAUUCGAUAAGCUUUCUUGGUUAAUAUAGCCUUUUUAACUCCUUUCUCACCAUCUAGCUUUUCUUUAUCCUUUUCUUGAUUAUUUUAUUUUUUAAUUUAGUCCCUCAUUAUUUUUUUUCAUUUAGUUUUUAUAUCAGAUUUGAUCCUUAUUGUUUUAGUUACUAUUUUUUUAAAAAAAUUAGAUGAUUAGGAAUUUCGCUUCAUGAUUUUGUUUUUGUGCAUGCCUUUUAUGGGUAAUCUCAAUCCUAUAACCUAUUUCACGGGUUUCAAUUUCAACAUUUUACAUUAGGUUAUUGGGCCUUAAACUUUAUGAUUUUUUCAUUUUCUUUACUGUGGGGUUAUCCUUAUUUAAUAUCCCGAGUCGCGCGUUAGUCAAGUUAAUUUGUUUUUGUUUUUAUUUUUUAAAAAUUUAUUUUUUUUCCUUUUUUCAUUUAGUUUACUUGAAAGUUGACAUCCAUUGUUUUAUUCAAUUUUUUUUGUGUGAGAUUAUCCUAGUCUCAUAACUAGGUCACAAAUUUAGCAUGCCGACUCAAGUAAGGUUUUUUUGUGCUUUUUCCAAAUUGAUUUUUUUCUUAGUUCAUCCUUUAACAUUUUCUUUUCUAGUAAUAAGGUUAGGGUUUCUUUCAUUUUCCUCUUUAUGAGGUUAUCUCGUCUCAUUUAAUUUUGUUCUUGUUAUCAAAUAAGAUAUUUGAGACCUUUUAAGAAUAUUUAGAGGGAAUAUUUUAGUAAUAUUAGCAAGCAUUAAUUUUCUUUAUUAGUCAUUGGCUUUUUUUUAUGUUUUUUUAUUGUCGUUGGAGUUUUUAAUCAUAUUGUUAAAUUAAGGGACAAUUACAAAAAUCCUCUUAUAGUUUGAUUUGAAAUUCACUUUCCCUCCAUACUUUUAUAAAUUACACUUUCCAUCCUAGAGCUUAUAUGUUCAAUAACAAUUUACAUCCUUAACAAUGCAUUUUUUUUGAAUUUUUUAUUUGAUCUAGGAAGUGAAGUGUGAUUUAUGAAAGUCUGGAGGGAAAGUGAGAUUCAGAUCAAACUAUAGAAGAGUUUUUUUAAUUAACCCUUAAAUUAAUCAAGAUUGUUGAGCCCAUUCAAAUCAAUAACUUAGGUACCAUAUUUUUCUUGCUCCUUUAAUUUUUUAAUUUGUUUAAUUCUAUUUUGAUUAGGAAUAUGAUUUGUAUUUGGACCAACUUAUUAGGAACUUAAUGGGUCACGCAUAUUAAGAAUUAUUAGUAAUAAAUUAAAGUGAGAUGAUUAAUCAAGUGAGACUUGAUUGUAAAUAAGUUUUAGAAAUUGAGAUUUAUAAUGUAAUUUAUAAAGGGAAUUACAAUUCUAGAUUUAGAAAAAUCAAGUAGGAAUUUGAUUGCAUAAAUUUCUAAGACUAAUUUGGAAUAAUAUGUGUGAUAUUUUCCAAGGAUCAAGGUGAUAUUUUUAUUAAUAGGGUUGUCAGGCUAUCCUAUAAAUAUAAUAUUAUGCCUUGUAUUUUUCUGAUGAUAACUUAUCAGAAUAUUUUUCUUUAUACAUACUUUAGACAUCAUAUACACCUAUACAUAUAGGUAGAAUAAAGAAAAUAAAGAGCUAGCACUUAAGACAUAACAAUCCAAUCCUUUUCUUUUAAAAAUAUUUUAGAAGAUUUCUGAUAUGGUGGUUCGUGUAGAUUACUAUUAGAAACUGAAUAAUUAGACAAUUUGUGAUUUGUGAUAAUUCAACAUUGAAGAGUUGGUCAAACCCAAAAAGAAGAUCUAAUAUUCAAAUAAUCUUUGCACAAACUUUAAACGAUCUUAGAUUGUUUAAUGAGAUCCUUGAGAAUUCUAGAAAAUUUUAAAAUUAUUUUUUUUGUUGCAUUUAUGUAUUUCAAGAAACCUAAUAUAAACUCUUAUGAGCCACUAGAGACUUAAAAGAAAUAUAUCUUUCAACUGCAUAUCAUCUCUUACAUCUUCCCUAUAAAUAUAUACAACACAAUUUUAAAGGCUUUCCUACUACUUUUGUGCUAAUUUAAGCUUUGUAAGAUCUCUUAUCUUAUAUGUGAGACUUAUUUUAUGGGUUCUCAUAGAGUUCAAACCUAUUAGCCUUAAUCUACCAAUUCUCUUCCUCUGUAUCCUUGCACAUCAUAUACAUAUAUAGUAUGAGAUUGUAAAUCAAUACUAAAAAUUGCUUGAAUUUUUGAAAUUUUGCAAGCUAAUGCUAAUAAUUUCUCAAAUACUAGCAUUCUACCAAAUUUUAUUGGGUUUUUUGUGUUUUUAUAAUAUCAACAAUAAUUUUUGCAUGUCAAAAUGGUGGUGGUGGUAUGAGGGAAGAUGACAAAGGCAAAACGAAAAUCAUCUACGCUUGAUGUUGUUAUUAUUGUAGUAUUUGCAGAAGUGAUUUCAAUAACAAUAAUGUCAAUGAAAAAAUAGUUAGGGUGGAUAUGGAGAUUGAGAGAAUUACCAUUAGCGGUACAAACACACGCAUCCAUGAAUGUUUAAAUUUGAAAAAUGAAUAUUUAAUAAGCAUAUUAAAGCUUAAAUUUAUAUAAUUAAUCUCUUUUCUUCAAUCUAUCAAUUUAAAUAACCAAUAAGGUUUUUUUUUUAUUAGACAUGCAAUACAUGUGCAUAUACUCAAUUUUAACUGAUUUUUAUUUUUUUUCAUAAAAAUGGUUUAAAAAGAUUGCAAUUUCAAAAUUAUAUUUUAAGAAAAUGGAAAGAAAAAAAUUAAAAAUAGAUUUAGCCCAAAGAUAUAAAUUAUUAGUAGAUUUAUUAUUGUUUUUUAUUGUUUAAAGAUAAGAGGUGGAGUGACAGGUUGCCACGUAGCACGUCAUAGUGAAAUAAAAGUAAAAGCUUACGAUGUUGUGGCGGCGAUGUAAUUGUUUGACAGCUAAAAAAUAGAAGAGCAAGAACCUUUCUGAUUUCCAAACCCCAAAUAAUACAUAUAAAUUUAGAGGCAUAGGGAACCCUCUCGAUGCGUGACUGAUUGUUGGUUAUCUCAAUAUUCCAAUUCCCAGACCUCUUAUCCACCGACGCUGCCGCCGCCGCUGCCGCCACCACCACCGCCAGCAUGGUCAGUUUAUCUCUUCCUCGCCAGCGUCGCUCACAGAAUCCGACUCCUUUUUAUCACUAUUGCUCACUAAUUUAUACUGUUUUGUAGACUAGUAGAGGAGGAGGAGUUCCCGGAGGAGUAGGCAGAGACCGAUUUCGAAGAGAAUUUACCUCUUCUCGAUUCGAAUCGAGUAAUAGUAACGGUAAGAGAGGGAAUAACCCGCCGUCGAGGCAUCUAUGGGUGGGGAAUUUAUCUCACAGUAUAGAAGAGACCGAUUUGACAGAUGAAUUCCUGCAAUUCGGAGACCUGGAUAGCGUUGCAUUUCAGCCGGGACGCAGCUAUGCUUUUGUUAAUUUUAACAAGGAAGAAGAUGCGAUUGCGGCCAUCAAGUCUCUCCAGGGUUAUCCUCUCGCCGGCAACCCUCUUAGGAUUGAGUUUGCUAAGGCGGUUAGUUUUUGCCACUUUUGUUCUCCUUUUUAUUUUCUAGAUUUCAGAUUCCUUGGAAUUCUGCUCUGCUUUUGUAUUUGUGCUAAGUGGGUUGUUUUCAUGCUCUAAUUAAGAAGGACUAAACUCCUCCUCCAGAUUAAUUAGUUUUCACCAUCCAAACAAAGCUGAGUUUAAAUUAGAUUAGGUGUAAGUAAGGCUUGAAUUGCUUCAAGAUCACUAUUAAAAUUGAUGGGCAAAGGCUUAGGAUUUUGUAGUUUUUCUUUAAAAAAAGAAGAAGAAGAAGAAGAAAAAUUCAUGGCUGAAAGAAAGAUUUGAUAAAUAAGGUGAAAAAAUUCUCCAAACAGAGAGAGAGGUAGUACUAUAAGACAAACAAUCAGGAAGGAACCACCAGGCACAAUUACAAACAAAGAAUGUUCGACUUUGCACAUUUCUCUGCAGCUUUCCAUCACUAGCAGAUAAGGUUCCAUUCCAAUUUUCAUUCCCCAUUGUUGUGGCUUGAAGUGGGAUCCUGUAUUCAAUUAAAGCACAAACACAUAGUCUAUUGAUCAUCGCACUUCUGAUAAUUGGUAUCCAUAAAUUGUUAUAUUAAUUAAUUCAACGACUUAUCAUAACACAUGGCUAAUGAGUUUCAUGUCAGUUAAAAAGAGUCUUUGCUUUUCCAAUCCAACAGUUUCACUUGCUUAUCUUGAGUUGAAAGUAUACCAUCCUAGAAGAUCAUUGAGCUCGUUUUUCAUUUGGCAUCAGGGGAUCUUCCACACUGUUAGUUAUCAACUAUAAAACCAGCUUUGUAGCUUUUCACCUGCACAUGAGGGUCUUUGCAGAUAUAGCAAACCUUUAGUCCAAGCUGACAGCCAUCCAAUUUUGAGUUCUGUGCUUGCUGGAUCUGGUAAUAUGAACAUGAUAUUCGGAGACCAGUCUUCUUAAAAUACCUUUAUUAAUGCUUCAGGGAGGAUGAUGAAGUUAAAAUUUCUGAAAUUGGGAUUAAGAACAUAUGAAUUCGGUGAUUCGAUAACAAUUAAUGGUUGUUCACUCAAUCCUCCAAGUUCAUUCCUCUCCUUCUCUCCAGAUGUCUAUUACAGCAGCUAGAACAGGCUGAACAGCAACAAUCAAAAGGAAAAAUUUAUCUAAUGGCCUUGCCAAAUACUUGAAAAUAAGAUAACAUGAGGGAAGCAGAAUCUAUGAAACAGUCACAUUGUCUUGCACCAAUACAUGGGGAUGUCUCAUGGAUUUAUCCCAGUUUGCAAUCUUCAUGCACGGCCUUCAUAAGACUGGUUUUUAGGUGGUAAGAUAACAGAUAAUAAUUAUAAAAAAAAAUCUCACAUGGGGCAUUCAAAUCCACAUCAAUUAAUAACAGUCAUGCUCUGUGCAACUCUGUGGCAACUUUUCGACCUGUAUUGAGAACAAUCUGUGUGAGUCUACACAACGCAGUGGAGUUUGCUUUGUUUAAAAUGCCCAGACUCAAGGGGUUGCAUGUUUCAUGAUUUUGGUAAAGUGACAAACUGCGAACCAUUUCUCUCCAUGCCUCAUUUAACCGAGUAAAAUUCGAUUCCCAGGGUAGCCCAACAGCAAUUAUGAUGUGAUAUUUACCAAAAGCCUAGCAGAACAUUAUAGCGGGUAGCUGUAAUCUCUUUCCCCGCUUAUUUGUCUGCUCGCAUUACUCAUCCUCGUAGCAGUUAACUUCUUGUGAGUAAAAAAAAGAAUUGAGUAUACCAAAUUUUUUGUCCAGGAGCUUAGUCUUUCAAUAACUGGUUAGCUUCUUCCCUAAAUCAAUUACGUAUCUGAUGUUUAUGAAAAUUGGUUUUGCUUGUCAAUCAUCCGAGACCCAUCUCCUGAUGCUAGAAUUCUUUUGAUCAGAUUACGUUUUCUGGGAUAGAUGGGUGUCUUUGGAUCUCAUGAAGGUUAAUUAUGGACGAGUAUAUUGUUCUCAUUUCUUUCUCUUUACUUUUUCCGAUGAUGCAUUUACCAAUGCUGUGCUUGAUGAUUAAUUCAUGAAAGCUUAGUUGCUUUAAACCUAUCAAUUUACUUUUUAUUGAAUUCCAACUGGAAAUUAAAAUAACAUGACUAGUUAAAGAAAGGACUGGUUCCAACACAUCUUGAUGAGAUUCUUAUCUCAGGACAAGUCAUCAACACCAUCACAUGAUGAAGAUUACUUGCAACGGCGAGAUGAACAACGCCUUACAUUAAGGGGAUCCCCUUUCUUGCAGAGGGACUCUAGAGUGCGUAAUGCUAGCCCCGAAACUUUUUACCCUGAUAAAUCCAAGAUGAGCGAUAAUAGUGCAGAACCUAGUGAGGUAUUAUGGAUAGGUUUUCCAGCUUUACUAAAGGUGGAUGAAAUGAUCUUACGGAAGGCUUUUUCACCAUUUGGUGAGAUUGAAAAGAUCACUGUAUUUCCAGGUCGUAGUUAUGCUUUUGUGAGGUUCACAAAUCUAACAUCAGCUUGCAGGGCAAAAGAAACUCUUCAGGGGAAAUUAUUUGGCAACCCUCGUGUGCAUAUUUGUUUUGCCAAGAAUGAAGCUGGGUCUUCAAAUAGUGGAAGGACCCCGCUUUCUCCGCAUUACAAGCCAAACAGUCGCCAAGGAGGCCCUGAGAACUUCUGGCAGGAUAGGAAUUUUGGGAGCACAGCUACAGAUCCCAGUAUUAGAUCUCCUCGUUUCAACUCAGAUUUGGAUCCUGCGGAUUCUGAUGUCUAUGGCCUUAACAGGAAGGGAACCUUGCACCAGGUUGGAAACGGUGCAUUUGAUAACUGGAGGUUUGGAGAAGAACUAGGACCACCACCAGAUGUGUAUGAACGACAUGGUAGUCCUACAAGAGGGAGGGAUGCCCACUUCCAUGAAUUUGCUAAAAAAAAUCCUCAGAAAGGUCCCUUUUAUGAAGAACCAUGGGAUUUACCAGAAGAUUCCUAUCUGUAUCAUGAAGCCAAGAAGUUGAAGACAGGCUCCUUUCCUCCUGACAAGGAACUUCCAGAGUAUCCUUACUCUGAUUUAGAACAGGAAAGAAGGGCUUUCCCUAGGGCAUUUUCUGAUUUUCCCCAACCAGAGGCAUUUGAUAAGAACCUGGAAGCUGGACCUUUUGGAUACACACCAAUCCAAGACCGGCCAAUCAAUUUAUCACUUCCUCAUGGAGAAAGGAGUGACCCCUGGAAGGUAUCUUAUGACAAUUUCCAGGCUGGCUCUGGUUCUCUGCCCACAAAUCGCACUGAGAGGAAAAGAUUCACCCCUGAACCAGAACCAUCCUCUUUGAAGUUAUGGAAAUGGGAAGGGACUAUAGCAAAGGGAGGGACUCCUGUCUGUCAUGCUCGCUGCUUUCCCGUGGGAAAAGCGCUAGACUUUAUGUUGUAAGUAGUAAAUAACCCUUCUCUUCAAGCUUUCACUUAUGCACAGAUUAGCUUUGAUAUCAGCCAAGUGGCUACUUCAUUCUUGCCCACUUGUUCUAUUUGUAGUGAUUAUGAUGCAAAUUACAAUGCAUCUUUAAGUCUUGAAAUCCUCUGCCCUUGUAUCAUAAUUUUCAGUUAUUGAUCUGUGAGCCCACAGUAAAAAAAUCAACAUGUUUUUUUCUACCCAACCAGAUUUGGUUCAACUACUGUAAUGUCUGCUACUAGGCAGAUUUUGAAACUUUCGAGGCAGAAUUUUUCCUGAUAUCAAAUUAUUUUCAUGGAUAUCAUCUGACUAUGAACUUAAUCUGAUGGUGCAAUUCGUCAUAUUGAUGUUUCAAUAUAUUUGUUACAUGACUCUUUUCAAAACUUUAUGUAAAGAUAACAUAUCUCCAAGAGAUGUUCUAAAACCGUACACGUGCAGUUUUUGUGGGGACACAAAAUGCACUUUUGUGAUAAUUGACAAUUUCAUCGUGUAGCUCAGCUAUUUUUCCACCUGCUCAGUGAACUUGUGUUCUGAUUUACUGUGUAACAUUGACAUUGAUUCUGCAGGCCUGAUUUCCUGGAUUGCACUGCAAGAACUGGUCUAGACAUGCUUGCAAAACACUACUAUCAAGCAGCUUCUGCUUGGGUUGUAUUCUUUGUCCCUGCUAGUGAUGCAGAUAUGGGAUACUACAAUGAACUCAUGCACUAUCUGGAGGAGAAGCAGCGUGCAGCAGUUGCUAAAUUGGAUGAUAAGACCACCUUGUUUCUUGUACCUCCAUCUGAUUUCUCAGAGAAAGUACUGAGAGUACCUGGCAAAUUGAGCAUAUCUGGUGUUAUUUUGAGGUUAGAGAAUUCUGGUUCAAAUCUUGGGCCUGUUCACCAUCCAAAUGAAAAAAGGGAUAUGAAUAUACUGCCAUUUCACAGGGAUCCAUCGUAUCCAAAGCCACCAACACAUUCAGGUCAGUUUCCUGCAAUGGUGUCUUUUUCAGAUUUGAGUAGAUCAGGAGGUGAUCCAGCUUUCCUAGGGAAUGUGGCUUCAACAGCUCCACCUGUGGCAUUUUCGGGUCCGGCCCAUCCUGCUGGAAGUAUAUCUGAUUCCUACAAUGAGAGUAGGCAUCAUUAUCCUCUCCAACAGCAGAACUCCACAUUGAGGCCCAACUGGUCUCCUCACCAUUCCCAGAGCAUUGUUUCUGGUAAUAGAAAUGUACCAUCACAAGCAUCCAAUACUGCUGUUGAUCCUGUUAUUCCAGAGCAUCACUCAGUCCUGCCAAGGACAGUGCAAGAAAAUGGCCCUGCACAUUUUGCAAGUGGAAUGUCAACCAAUCCAGUGUCUGGAAACAGCAAGUCGACCUUUCAGGAAACCAAGCCUUCUGUUCCAGUGUCUUUGCCUAUUGCAGGUUUGCAACCACAACAACUUGCACAAUUAGCAUCAUCGCUUCUAGGGCAGCAGAGGCUAUUGGGUAAUAAUUCAAAUGGAUCUGCUAGUGAGGAUUUUAAGCGGACAGUGAAUCAGUCUGGCAACCAAGUUGGAAUAGCACAGGCACUUGGUUUGCACAAAAAUCAAGUGGGCUCUGAGAUGCUGACAUCUCAGUUUAGUCAAUUACAACAGAUGCAACAGCAGCAGGUAUCAAAUGUGCCUACUUCAGUGCCACCCCCAGUUAGAAAAGAGCUUCAGCCAGGGGCUCAGGGUAAUCCACGGAUGGAAAGUGCUGGCACACAAGAGGAAGCAGAUGGAGAUCCUCAAAAGCGUCUGCAAGCAACAUUACAGCUCGCAGCAGCUCUUCUUCAGCAAAUACAACAAGGGAAAGGAACUUGAGUGGUGCCUGAUUAUGUUGAUUCCUUCACUACCACGUGAGUGAAGUAGGUAAAAUAGCUUUUCUUCAGAUGAUGCUACAGAAUGUCUCAGUAGUAGCACUAUUAACCAAAAAAGUAUUGCUGCAAUUGAGUAAUGCCAGUGCUGUAUUCUGCUAUAUUUUGUGUGGCGAUGAUAUGCUGCUUUAUGUCUCCUUUCUUUGUUGACUUGAUCGGAAGAGUGAGGACUUGUAGCUGCAUCAGGGCUCCAGGAAAUACCAAGCUCUUAUGCAGGUCCAUUAAAACUAGAUCCAUGAUUCAUCUUUAGUCCUUUUUUUUUUCUCCCUCCAGUUGAAUAGAACUAUAUUAGAUCUCUGCAUCUGGUUUGGAAUAUAUCAUUGCACAGCUAAUCUAUUCUAAACUUCAAGUGGAAAAUUUCAAGUAAUUCCACUGAUGUUUGUUGCUUAGUCGUGCAAAAAUGCUGUGGAAGAAAUUAGUUUCGGCAAAAAUGCUCUUUGUUAAGCAGGCUAUGUAAUGAAAGCCUUGGAAGAGCUGGUUAAUGGACAUGCUUCUCGCUUUUUAAGCCCUUUAAUCUUGUGGAGUUCUUUCAAUUUUGGUACUUGAAGGCUGGUCGGAGAGCUGCAGCUCCGCCAAAGAUUUAUUAUGGUGUGUGGUUAAGUUUCCCUCAAUUUGAUUAAUUAAUUACCAAUGUACAAUAAUUAGUGUUAGAUUCAGUGUUGUACUGAUGACUAUAAGAGUAAUGGUGUCCUCAAUUUGAGGAUUAAAAGUAAAUGAUGCCUGCUGUUUUUAUCAAAUUAUAUGUUGCAGCAAACUGGUGUGCGAUCUGUGGAGACUGAGGCUGAUCAUGUAAAAUCGAGUUUAAAAGUAAAUGUCCAUGGCACAUAACAUAAGAAAAUAGUGAAAUUUCAAUGAUAAAGAGGCAGGCGAGUUACAAAACUUGAUAAAAAAAAAAAUAUCAAAAAAAUCUUUUGCGAGUUUUCGGAAAUAACUCAAGGUAGUGUAGUGUGAUAAAUAUGUAACUUGGAUAAUAAAGAGUGAGUUAAUUCAGGUUAAUUUCAAAAUUUAUUAUUGAAGUUACGAGAUUCGAAUAAUUUGAUAGAAAAUAAAUUAAAAAAAAAUCACAAAAUUAAUUUUUUUUAAAUAAUAUCAAACGAUGAAAUCAUAAAAGAAAAUAUGCAAAAAAAAGGACGUCUAUCCGCAUUAACUUUUCAAGCUCAUGAUCUAGGUUAUUAGACCAGAAACACCAAACAUGAAAAAACCAUAAAAUCUAAUUCUUAACCAAUCAAAUAUUGAAAGAUAAAAUCGAAAAAAUAAAUAAAUUAUGCAAAAGGAUCUAAAAAAAAUAGCAAUUAAAAGAAUGAGAGUUAAAAUUGAAAUAAAAAAUAAUUUAGGCAAAAAUAAUUUUUUUAAUGGAGGGUUAAAUUAAAAAAAGAACAAUAAAAAUCAAAAGAAUGAUGACCAAAUAAAAAAAAUAAUUCAGCAUAAACUUGGAUUGAAUGAUGAAAUCGAAAACCAUCAAAACUUUUUACAAAAAACUCAAGAAAAAAAUUAAAAAUUAAAAGAAGAAGGAUGAAAUUGAAAUAUAUAUGAUAAAUUAGAAUUGAAGGAUUAAAUUGAAAAUAAAUAAAACUUUAACAAAAAGACCAAAGAAAAAAAAUUAGAAAUCAAAAAAAUAAGUACUAAAGUUGAAAUAUCAAGAUCAAAGAGGACAAACUGUCCAGUCGCUAUUGACGCCACACCAGUAGAGAGAAAAAAGGAAGAAAAAGGUCAAUCGACGACAAACCACCUCGUUGCCACCGACGUUGCACUGAGAGAAAGGGACAUAGUGGCGCAUCUAACGACAUAACAAAAGGCUAUUUUCUUCCACCAGGAGGCGUCACACUCUUCACUCAAAAUGCGUGAGUGCCUCCCACACGCUGGCGUGUGCCCUACACGUACCAACAAUUUUUUUAAAUUAAUUAAUUUUUAAUUGAUGCUAAAAGAUAAAAAUAUAUUUAAUUACUCCGGUAAUUACAAAAUAAAAUUCUAAAAGAAAAGACCAAAACAUCCCAAAACCUAAGUUUUAAUUUUCUUAUCCCAAGGGCAUACUUGUCAAUUUAUUGUACGUGAUUAAUUUAUUGUACAUGAUUAAUGAAAAGAUAUUUAUACUCUUUUUUUCUAGUUUCAUAAAAAAAAAAUUAUUCUAGAGCAAUGGGAUCAUUUUAUUAUGCUUAAAAAGAUGAAAAAUACAAACAAUUCUUUAAUAACUAAUAUCUCAUGUGAAAAAUAAAUACAUUUUUGACACAAAGUCAAUUGAUUUUAAAAAAAAAAAGAGUAAAAUAUCAUUUUGUUGUUAUAUUAUAAUGAAUAAUAUAUUGAGUCUAAGAGUAUAAUGUUUUUACCUUUCAUCAUUCAAAAUUAAUUGCUGCAACUUACAUCCUGGUUCAAGUCUUCAUCGAUCAGGUGGAUUUAUAUGCUCGGGUUGAGACGAGGUGAUAUUUUUCAUUUUAAGUUGUCGGUUGUCCAUGUUCUGACAACCAAAAAGACUGAUCUUUAUAUCAAUAGACUUUAUUUGUCUGAAGUAAUUUUAUUUGUCUAAAAACCAAAUAUUCUAAUAAAAAACCCAAGUAAAAAAUAGAGAGAGUUGGUAAGAUAAAAAGAUUUUAGAUAGAGAGAUAUCUUAUCCCCGAGUAUUUUUUACAUUUGUUCUUAUUGCUUUUUUAUAUUUAUUAAGUAAAGAACACGAAACAAAAGAGUUAUAUUUUUUUGUAGGAAAAAAAAUUAGAAAAGAAGAAAUUAUACUAAUAAAUUAUUUUGUUUCAAAAGAGUUUAUAUUACUACUCUUCUUACAAAAAAAUAAAUUAAUUACCAUAUAAUUAAAUAAAAAAUAUUAAAAGGUUCCAUCUUUAUUUACUUUAUCUCUUAAUUUUUGUUUUUAAUUAGUAUUAACAAUAUUUUUUAACAUUUAUUAAUUUAUACAUAUCAUUCUUAAUUUGUUUUAUUAAACAAACUCAUCAAACUUCCAGUUAAAUAUAUAUAUUUAUUAAACAAAGUCAUCAAACUUCCAGUUAAAUAUAUAUAAAAAAACAUUGAUUUUAAAAAUUGUGUUGACAACCCCUGCAUUUUUUUAUUUUUUAUUUUUGUGUUAAAAAAAUCUCAUCCAACCCUUAGCUAAGCAUAGUUCAACUAACUAGUGAGUGCAUCCUAAAUUAACAAUUAUUGUUAGUUGCAAAAUUUCAGUGAUUUGCACGGAUCAAUUGCUUCUUUCUGUUAAUUGCUAUAUAUAUAUAUAAAAAGGUAUAAAAGUAUCCAACAAAACACACAGAUAGCAAUCCCACUUUUCACUACAUCCACUACUUCUGGUUUGGCCCUGCAGUGGAAGGGAGGGGGAGAGGGAAAAAAACAAAUGAAAAGCAUGGACGUGAGGAAUUCUAUUGCCUUUAUUCUAUCAAGUAAAAAAGAAACACAACCUAUUUGGGGAUAUAGCUCAAGUUACUAACGAACAAAAGAAUAUGCACUUGCAUGCCGACUAGUGUGGUCUCUGUAUAGUUUAAGGUAAACCACAGUACUUGAAUAUAAGAUCACCAAAAAAACUGACAUUGAAAGGUUUGUUGCCCUGCUGCUGCUGCUGUACAGAUGUUUCAACCGCUAAACAUAGAAGUAGGUAGAUGUCUCUGUUGCGUUCGCCGUGUUGCAAAGAAUAGAUCGAGCUUCAAUUACAGAGCGAGGGGGCUCUAGAUCCUUCUCUUGAAGUGAGUUUCCUAGCAGUCGCUGCAUUUGCGAAGCAAAUGUGUCAUCCAGUAUCUGCAAAAGAAAACCAUGAAGAAACUAGCAUGUGAGAUGGUCAGAAUUGACAAAUCAUGAAAUGCCCAGAUAUGAACUCCAAGACCUACCCCAAGUGCAUAGCAGGAACCAUUAUACCACACUUUGUUCUCCUUCCUGCUCUCAAGAAACUUCAAAACGAUCUAGAACAUUACACAGUUAAAGCAUCAGGAUAACAGAUAGAAAUAAAAUAACCCCGGUGAAGUGCGGAAUUUAGAUAAAAAUGUUACUCUACCUCUCCCAUCCUAUCCCAGAAUCCACGACAUGUUGCGACAAAUAUCCGGCUAGCAAAAACAUCAUGCAAAUUGGAUAUACAAUCAAUGAGCUGUGAACUUAGAAUCUGCAUUCUUUCACGGACCUCAGCCUCUCCAUCUUCUUCCCUUAUGUCCUCCAAAAUUCUUUUUAGUCGUGUGCUUCGACUAGCUUGCACCUGGAAGAAUUGUGAUUUCAUUCAUGUUACAGUUUCUCUUUUUGCAUUCUAAAAACACCAACCACGGCAAGAGGAAGAAGGAUCCGUUAAGAUGAUUAACCAAGUAAAAUUAUCAUCAACUAGUAGUAUAGGAUGAGCAUGCAAAAUUCCAUAGUAUUCAGGAAUGCAAGUAAUACACAACAUAUCCUCAAAUGCAAUGUUACCUAAUGAUCAGGCACAGAAUCAAUCCCUUGAUAGCAAAUUGACUAUUGAAUAAAUGACCAGCAUUACUGAUCAUCUCAAGGAAAUUAGAUUUUUAGAUUUACAACUACCACUGAUACAAUGGAACUCAGAUAAUGGAUAGAAGCUUACAUUGUUAACGAGCUUCUCCACUGUUGCCUGCAAGUAAUUUUUGUGUUUUGUUCUCAACAGAACAGUAAUUCCAUUCAUCUGCUCCCCGCAAAUUGACUUUUUAUCUCCCACGAGAGGUAGAUAGGAAGCCCAGGACUUAAAAAUGUCCUCCACUCUACAAUGUAAGACAUCAAGGAUUCUCUUGAUUGUAUUCAGAAAAAUUCCCAACUGCCACAAGAAAAUAUUGGUGAGUUGUAAAUGGACACAAUGGAGUGCAAAACAUCUGUGUUUGUGUGUGGGAUGUUCAUGUUUGCACCACUCACUUGAUUAGGUACAGAAUAAAGUGUUGUUGAUUGUCUUCUUGUCAGCUUUUGGACAUGCAUAUUAAGCCUCUUUGGAAUGCUAUCUUUCAAAGGAGUCAAGAUGUCAUUGUAUUGCUUCUCCAAAGCUUUAACUAUUGCUCUUUCCACAUCAGCAACAGCCUUUGACAAGAUUGAGAAUAAAAAAUGAAAAUUAGCUGUGACACAAAAAUUAGUAUACAAGCGCAAAAAAACAUCCAUAUAUUGGUUUCCAGACAUGCCUAAGUGAGCACAUGUGGAGAAGAGGAAGAACAAGUACUAAAGGCUUCUCUCUAGUAACUUGCUAAAUCUUGCAAAAGAUAGUCAAUACUUACAUUUUCCAAAAUCAAGGAGUACCGAGGCCAUCGGUUGAUCACCACUUCGUACUCAAUAAGUGCAUCUUUGAUUCUCUCAUACAUUUCUUCAGCAAAUGGAGAAGUGGAAUGAUUCGUCAUUACUCCAGCCCAUGGCACCUGCAAGAGGUAGUUAAUGGUUAGAGCAUUGAAAGAAAAUCCUCAUUUUCAAUUGAAAGUACAACUGGUUUUACUUUUGUUUCAUGUGUGUGUGUUGGGGGCAAAGGGAUGAGAACGGGAGGGAUUAUGUUCUAUGAACAAACAUAGGACAAUUGCUUUGAACUUGAAUUUGGAGACCACCCUCGCUUCCACAAUUUUUCACAUGAAGGAAGAGGAAGUAUGACAGGUACCUUUUCUGCUUUGCAAAGUUCAAGCAAGUUAAUUUGCAUAUCCUGCACCCAGACCAUUAUGUAACUAUGAAACAAUCCCCUCGAAUCUACGCCACCUUGCACUGGACUGAAACAAACAAAAUAUAAAAUAUGAGAGAGCUUCAACUUCUACAUCUACAGUGGGUUGUAAAUUAUUUUGAUACCAUGUUCGGACUACAUUAUUAAUGACACUUCAUCUUCAAUUUUCUUUGUGGGAACAUAUUAAAACUCGUUCUACUUGAAACCAAAACAUAUUUUGUAUUUUUUUCUAUCACUAACCUGAUAUUCCAUAACUCAAGAUCCCGUUCAAAAUCAGCAAUUGCUAUCAGUAGUUCAUUUACAUGUGGUUGCGGGCUAGAUGGAGGACAUGCAGAGAGAAAAAUUCUAAGCCUGUUACACAACUCAGUGCUAUAAACUGCAGCAGCGAUGUUUGACAAGUCGAUUGAACUGAAAAUAGAGAAAUGUGUUAAGAUAAGCAUAAAAUGAUCAAUUAAGAAGUUCAUUGCAUGCAAUAUUUGCUCAAUACUUUGCCUACAACUAACUUGAGAAUGAAAGUCACAAUGACUAGGGAAGAAAGUUUCGAAUUUGUCGCGAGUGAAGAAAGAACGAUAUAAAAAUCUCUAGUUUGGUGAAACUAAUCUCGAGCAAAAGGGAGCAAAUUGUCUUUUGUAAGGUUUAAGGGUUAGGGUUUUCAUAGAAGCAAAAUACGUAAUGCUCAUUAGUUAAAACUUCAACUUAAGAUCAUUUUGGGUCAUAUCAGCUAAUGAGGGGAUAUAAUAUUCACGUAAGAAAGAAAGAUACCAAUACCUUGGGAGUAGAUGCUGGUUGUGGAUCCUGAUGUCUGCCUGAAUUUCCUUCCCAAUAUUCAGACACAAAUUUUUCAUUUUUAAAUAGGCUGUGGAGAUAGUUAUAGAGUCUAAGAGGAAGCCUUCAGAGUUGCCAGAAACAAACUCAUCAGUCUCUACCAUGUGUUUUCGACAUCUCUUCUUCGCUGCUGUCUGUAAAAAAUAUUUAUUCAAUUUAGAGUUGUAUCGUGCUAAUAUGUUAUAUGUUGCGAAAAUAGGAUGAAUAGACUUCUAGUUCCAACACAUGAUUUCAAAGCACAAAUGCAGUCAGUGGACGAAAAUCAGUGCGAAUUUGGGUACCAUAAGACCCUUUCUUAGCUGAUCUCUAACAUUCAUGUAACUCAAAUGUGAGAGUGUUUUUGUAUGAGGACAUUUACUCGAUUUUUGUAUGAGAACAUUUCAUGUAACUUUUGUGAGAAGGUCUAAUUGAAGACUUGGAAGAUUAAGAGGUUGAAGAUUGCACAAUAAACAUCCCUAUGCUUGUUAGGUUCAUUGAGAACAUUGAUGUCAACUUUAAUUUACCUGCAAAUAGUUCCUCAGCAUAGUCUGCGCAUCUUGAGAUAGUAUGUCAUGGAGUAGGGUGUAGACUUUAACAGCUUCACCUAGAGCUGGUGCUGCAGACUCUUGCAUCGGGUUGAACAGGUCUGCCAACCCUGUGGGUGAGUUUUCAUCCAGUGAUUUGUAGUUCUCAAAAACUUGUGCCAAGAGACUCUCAAUUCGUGUUUCGCAAUCUAAAAAUAUACUUUUCUGCAGUAAUACAAUGAGGACAGUAAGAGGCAUUUCUUUGGUGCACUGGGACAAUUUAUAAAGCAUAGAAUAAAAGGUGAAUUUCAGAUAAGAUGGUAGCACCCAUGCCAUGCUCUUCCUAUCAUUGGAAGCCAUGCAAGCCAAUUUCUAGAAAACAUUAACACAACAAUAGCAAAAACAAAUAACAAGAUGUCAACUAGCUUGGUUGGCAAUGGAUAUAUAUAUAAAAAGAAAAACCUCAACAACCAUCCAAAAACUGAUGACCGAGCAUAACAUUCAGAUUCUUACUAAAUUCUUUUCAUAGCAUCUUCAUAUUUAUGUAUCAUUCAUGUCAAGUGUUUUCUUUCUUCAUUGUUCAAACAGUUACCUAAAAAGUUAAAAGAAAUAGAAGUGUUGCAGGGUGUCUACUACAAUCACAAACACAAAAGGAUGAUCUCGCCAAAUUCAUGGACUGGUCAUGGUAGAGCCAACCUUCAGCAAGGGAAAUCCUCUGUGAACUUGCUUCUUCCAUGUCCCAAACAAACCAUAAUUGGAGUGGCACAAUCCAUUCUCAUCAGUAAGAGAACCACAAAAGCUUUUUUGCCUAAUUAUCCUUGCCAAAAUAUAAGGCCUGUUUAAACUAUUUGAGAGUUUAGCUUCGUUAACUUGGUUUCCAAUUACUAUUUCAGCUUUUGCUUCUAUUCAUUUUGUCACUAACAGUGAAAAUUAAAUACAAAUUCUACUAGCAUAUAAAUUAUCUUCUGUGAAUUUGCUUCUUCCAUGUUCCAAACAAACCAUAACUGGAGUGGCAAAAUCCUUUCUUAUCAGUAAGAGAACCACGAAAAGCUUUUUUGCCUAAUAUACUUGCCAAAAUAUAAGGCCUAUUUAAACUAUUUGAGAGUUUAGCUUCGUUAACUUGCAUCAAAUUGAUAUUUCAGCUUUUUUCUAUUCAUUUUGUCACUGACGAUGAAAAUUAAAUAUAAAUUAUACUUUUAUAGCAUAAAAAGGAGAGGGGGGGGGGCAUUAGGUUUCAUCCAAAUUAGCAUCAAAAGCAAAGUUCCCUGAAUUCGGUGUGUUGAGUGCUAGCUACUUAAAUAGGUUAUUUUUCAUUUUCUGGUUUGAUUUUGAAGUUAAUAGAACGCUUGGAUAUGCAUUCAAGAGAUUAUUUGUAAGUAGUGUAUGUAAUCUCAGCAAUUAUUAGGAGCCUACCUCUUGCACGGUUAAACUCUUCUCACUCCUAGCCUUCAUAAUGGGUACAAGUAACUCAUUGACAAGCUCCAAGCAGUCUUUCUUUGGAAGGGCCACAUCCAUGACCCGUGAAAGAUAUCUAGAAAGAAAUUUAGACAAGUUAAGAUAUGGAAGGAAAUAGAAAGAUAAAGGUAAAAAUGAACAACUAGACCCACUGAGAUAUUCAAUAAAUUUGCAGUUAUAAGCACCUCAAUUUUGUAUAUGAAUCAGAAACUCCAUAAUAAUCUGCAAAUUCAAUCAACAGCCACUUCCAAGAUCCAUGUAAUCUCAAAUUUCGAGAAUGAAAAAGCUGUGCGUGCAUAGCAGCCUCCAGUAGUAGAUCAUAAGCUAUUGUUUCCACAACAGGACCACUCUGUAUAUUAUUAACAGCACAAAAAAAUGAAAUUAUGGAAGUAAAACAUGGCAAGCACUGCAUCAUGGAAGCACCUUGUAUAAUAGUAAUAAGCACACACUUGUAGACCACAUGAAAGCACUUGACAAUGCAUGCACACUGCAAAUGAUAUGCAAGAAGACAGCCUGCACAAGCACUCAUUUACAUUCACAUGCUCGUAAUUCUAGCACUUGAACAUUGAAUUUAUACUAAAAAUGGAAAAGACAAAACAGCAUAAUUGCUACCACAAAAUUAUUCCAAAAGAAGGCAUAAAGAUAAACAGGUAUUAUCUAUUCGGCUAAUUUGAGUUGAAAGAACUGAAACCUUAAUAUUAUUAGUCUCAUCCUGUGUAAUAGUACUGCCAAUGAAGAGUUGUAUCUUCCCAACACAUUCUUGAUCUUCAUGGUAUAAGGGCCACCAUCGAAUUCUAUCACUCUGCAUAAUUUGAAUAAUCACAUCAUCUAAAGUAAUUAUUUAUACUUACAAGUACCUCAUGCUGGAAGAUACAGGAAAAAGGUACAUACAGGAUUAUCAUUGAAAGAUGAAAUAGCAAUUGUAGCUCGGCCUUGGAGUGACUUUUUUGUAUCUUGUACCUCUACCAAAAGUGCUUCCCCUUCACUUUCUGGAAAACUGAAUUACGUAAACAUGUGAGAUUUUCCCAUUCCAUGUAGAACAAUUAUACCGGAAAUUAUACAGUCCUUUGUUUUGUGAGGGUGAUCAGUGGUUUUACUUUGUCAACCAUAUGAUUUUCAUAAGUAUAAAAUUGAUAGAUGAACAGAAAUGAAAAUCUUUUGGGCCAUCUAUCAUAUUACAAGGUACAUUAAUGGCCCAAUCUGCUAGCCUUUCAAUUGAGACUGAGCUGUCUACAAUUUUUACCAUCUCAUGCUAAUAUUUUUUUUGUAGUAAAAAAAAAACCUCAUAGCAGCCAACUGUAUGACAAGUUGAAAGUAAGUUCAGAACUUACAAGAUGUGGUAAUCCCCACUUCCUGGGUGUAAACAAAUAGCAGAACCUGGUUCAACUUGAGAAUUUUCAGUAGUACUCUUCAGUUGGAAUAAGCAUGUCAGUUUCUCUGCAAACCAGAAAAAAUAAUUUUAACUGUCCAUCGAAAUAGUGCAGCAGAGAAGUUUCUAAAAUUUUGCACAAUUCAAAAUGCCAAAACAAGUGGAAUCCACAUGAUUGAUGUGAUUUAAGACAACCACUUGCAGUAUCUUCUUUAGGAUAUAGACAGAAUUCAUUUACCCUAAUGAUAAUCUGAAAAUGUGAUUAAAAGUGGAUCUGUCGUUAACUUGCUACACGUAUAUGAGCAAUAGACUUUGCAGCCAUUUUAAUGAAAACACAAACCUUCUGUUGGCACUGGAAACGAAGCUAUUUUAAGAGAAUUCAUGCCAGUUUUCACUAGCGAUGAAACAUGCUGGACAUACUCUUUCCCCAUUUGCAUGUAGAUUGCACUACGCUGGGAGUAAGUGCUCAUAAGUUUCCGCCUUGGUAUUAUCCGGAGUUUCUUUACUGCCAAAGUCACCAAGUGUAAUUUAGUUGAAUUAAGAAACAAUUAAAGCUUAAUUUUGGUGGAAAACUAUUUUUUCUCAUUAUUGCAUAUCCAGUUACUCAGCAUUGGACAUCCUUUUUGUCUGUCAUGACUAAAUAAUGAAUAUCCUUGAUGUGAAUCUACAGAUGACUAAAUUAUGAAAAAAGAAUGGAACUGGGAAUUUAAAACAUGACAGCCAAAUUAACAGGAAAGAAUUAAAGAAAAGAAAUUCUAACGCUUCAUUCUAAUUAUUCGACUUCCUUGUGUAGCAAUGACACAAGAGAUCUUACCUUCAACUCUUAUCUUCCCAACAACCUUUUUUGCCUUCAAAGGGCAUGUUUGUUCUGCAAUUUUAGUUGAGUUGACUGCUACAGGUUGUAUACGGCGUGGUUGCAACAAAAAUUUGUGUAGUCUACAAUAUUAAUAGCAAAAUAAAUACCAAUCAGAGUUGCAUAUUAGCCAUAAAUUAACAAAAAAAAAUCACCAUUUUUAGCAGCUAUAUUAUAUUUUCACCGUAUAAGCAUAAGGAAUCCUACCCAAAAGCACUUCUAAGAAUCAGACACUCAUCACGCAGAAACUCAGGAGCCUCAGUGCGACCUCUAGCCCAGGCAUAUAGACAUAAGCGGAUACAUGCAUCGUAAGCAAUCAUAGUUUGCCACGCAUAUUGACCGCUGCAACAAUUAAAUUAACCAGCCAUCAGAACACACGCUGGCAAUGAUAGUUGUGUGCAUGAAAAAAGAAAAAAACCUGUUCAGAUGGAUAUCAAACAGACUCAUAAUCCAUAAAGGGCAGAAAAUGAAAAUGUUCCAGACAACAUUCAGUCAAAAAUCCAGAAUUUAAAACAAAUUCAUUUAGUUUUUAUAUUCAAAUCCUAAAGGGAUCAACCAAUAGCAAACUUAGAAAUUAAACUCCAUUAAAAUAACUAAAAUAUCACUAUAGCAUUAAUGAGUUUGAAUUUAAAUCAGAUCAUACCCCGUGUUAUAACAAGGUGAACGGUCUGAUGAACUAGUCUGCCAAUAAGGCAUCUUUCCUUCCAUUUCUCCUGUCAUAAAGCUAUUUAUUCUGCGCCAGAAGAUAAAGCAGAUUAGUAGUAAGUGACUAAUAGAACAAAGAAAUGAUAAUUAUAGAUGAAUUAUUAAAUGCCUAAUGCCACUAAUAAUUGUAAUACCUUUCAUCACAUUCGGUACUUUGCAUAGAUUGUGAUGUUUGAUCAAAUAAACCUUCCGCUGAUUCUCUUGGCUUGCCAACUCCAUACGCAAUUUGCUCAGUUUCUGUGUCAAACGUAACAUUCCCUUCUUCUCCUCCAAUUUCAAUUAUUGGAGGAGCACUUGGAGUCCCCAUCUCCUCCACCGGUCUAAAUACAUUUGCUUCAUUGCUGAAAUUAUCCUAUAAUCACAUUCACAACCAACAUUAAUCACCGGUACUAAAAAAAAAACCCGAAGAGAUCAUCAAUCAACAGCAAACACGAACCCAACAUACCAAUUGUGCAUUGCGUAGCUGAACUCUCUCUCGAAGCGAAAAACUACCACCCGGGCCCACCGAAUUCUUCUUGGGUGUUCCAGAUUUUCUAAACCCUAGAUCACCAUCAACUUGAGUGGCACUCUUAAGCCUUCUAAAGUGACCAGGCAAUUCAAUCUUCAAAUCCUCCUUCAAAACCCCUCUAUUCAACUUGGUUUUAGCAGUAGGCCUAUUUCUAGUAACCCCAAAAAUCUCCUCCUCAUCUUCAUCCUGAUAACUUUGCAUCACAGGCUUCUCCAAGUAAUCAAAAUCGGAAGGACCUAUAUCCUCAAAACCAUCCUCUUCAGUGUAGUUUCUACGACCAAUCUCGUAAUCAGAAACUGAAGCCACGCUCACAUUAUCGUCGUCUUCUUCUUUGUUCUGAAGGCACGGAGAGACUAUACUGUGAGGGGUCAGUAACCCAGAAUGGAAUUUAAGCGGAGGCAAUAAAUGGGAAGAGCUAUUGUAGAAAAAUGGAGAUUUCGGAAAUGGGUUUUCUGCUGCUGCUACUGGUGAUAGCUUCUCUGCUGAUAACGGAGAUAGCGGAGAUCGAACUUUAGGUUGAGAUUCUUCUGCAUCUGAUCCCUGCAGAUACAUGAAUUACUACUAUCAUUCUCAUUAAAUAAUAAAUUUUUGAAAAGAAAGAAAGAUCAGCAUGCAAUACCCGCUUGAUCCAGUUAAUGGCGGAUUCAUCCAGACCUUCAGUGAACAUUCUUAUUCUUUGCUUUUGAGCUUUCUGCUGCCAAGAGAAAGAAUCAACGUCUCAAAGAUAGAAUUAAUCAAAAGGAAAAAAAGAAAAGGGGGGGUAUGAAGAGAUUCAAGGGGCUGUUAUUUCCUUUUCCUAAUGAGAGGAGAGCUUAGACAAGAAGGUAAAGGAGAAGGGAAGGGAAGGGAGCGUUUUGAAAAGGCAACGGCUAGUUUGAGGCUUCCUUUUUUAUAUUUAAAAGAAAGAAAUAAAAGAAUAUACAUUUCUUUCUAUUAUAUGGUGGCGACUGCGAGUGAGUGAGUUGCCAUCCCUCAUCGGGUCCCAGAUAGAAAGGGAAUUAUACGGAAAGUGCGUUGUUGUGAAGGGUUAAAAAAGGGAAUUUAUUGCUUCGUAAAUAAAUAGGAUAUUCUGCUGCGCAGGAUAAUUUUAUUUUUUUAAAUAAUAAUUAUUUAAAAAUAUAUUAAAAUAAUUUUAAAUAAAAAAUAGUUUUUUAUAAAAUAUUAUUUGAGCCGUGUUCCUCACACUUAAGUACACCACUUAUUGCUUUGUAAAUAAAUAGGUGAUGGAAAUAUUUGAUUUUUAAGUGAAAUAUAAAAUUAAAAUAACUAUAAUUCAUAAUAAUUACCUUUACUAGGUAUAAAAAAAAAUGUAAAUUACACGGUAUCAUUAAAUAACAUUAAUCACCAAAAACAAUUAGAGAAUUGACAUAAAUACUCUUAAUUAUUAUUUAGAAACAAAAUAGUUAAAUAAAUAAAACAGAGUCGAAAUUUAAAUUAUUCAUAAAAUGAAAAUUAAUUAUUUUUUUAUCAUAUUAUUUUUUUAAUUCUUCAAGUUUUUAGUUUAAAUAUUUUUAUUAAAUAGUAAUUUGAAUGCAUUUUAAAUAAUAAUUAUUUAGGGGGUGUUUGUGAAUGUAGUAAUGGUUGUUUUUUAAAGUAUUUUUGCUUGAAAAUAUAUCAGAAUAAAGUUUUUUUAUUUUUUUAAAUUUAUUUUUGAUAUUAAUACAUCAAAAUGAUUUGAAAACAUCAAAAAAUAUUAAUUUAAAAUAAAAAAUAAAAAAAUUAAAUUUCUUUUAAAAUAUUUUUAAAAUAUAAAAAUAAACUAGAGUCAGUUUCAAUGUGGGAUUCAUUAAUGAGUUAAGCAUUAAAGAGUCAAUGUUUUGUUUUUAUUGUACUUGGUUAUUUUUUAAAGAAUUAUAUUAUUUCUUCUGAAAAGUAUUAAAUUGGUUAUUAGUUGUUGUUUUUUUAAUAAUUGAUGUAAAAAAUAAAUAAAUAAAUAAAUUUUUAAUAUAUUUUCAGUUAAAAAUUGAAUUAACCUAAAAACUCCAAUCCGACAUGAAAGGAAACCAAUUUCCCUAAAGAGAGAAAAUCUCUACAGGAUGCGAUGGAUCCAGUUCCAGAUAGCUGCUAGCAUUAAGCCAUGUCGGAAAUGAUCCUGAAAUCUAACUCUCUGCGAUAAUGACAACUGAGAUUAUUAUGAUGACUCUUUUUAGGAAAGGAAUGGAAAAGAUGAUAAGGAUUGUGGACUUCCUUGAUUUGACUGUGCUCACUUCACCCAGAGAACAAGACAGCCACAUCGAGAGAAAAGGGCUCCACGUUUCCCUUCAUGCGCCAACACAGAGUGACAGGCCAAAAGGUGAGCUUCUCAGUCACACAGCCGAGCACAAUCGCACAAUGCCACCUCGCCAGCCCUGAACUACGUACGGAACAAUCAUGGUUGCAGUGCACCCUCUCUCAAUUCAACCCAAUUACUCCAUUGUCACCCUCGCCAGGCAGGUACGUUGGGGGGGGGGGGGGGGGGGCGCAACGAGAGGAAGAAAUUCGCUCCUUCUCUUCUCCUCGGGUCUCAAUUGCCUCGGUUUCAUCUCCUUGUUGCAAAAGUCUAACUUCCGUUCUCUAAUGCAUACAAAGUGGCUGUUGUGUGCAUCUUUGGACUCUUCUAGCUUUUUAUUUAUUGAUGUUUUGCUACUGUUCCAUUUCCAUGGGCCCCACUAGAUUAGCGGUUGGGCCUACGUGUCAGCGAAUUUUGGGGUCUGCUCUCUGUAUUUCUAACCCCUGUAAGUGAGUGCAAAUGCAACAAGGAAGAUUUUGAGCUGUGAGACAGAGAGAAAUGAGUGACAAGAAAGGGGGUCAUGAUGAUGAUCGUGAGGAUACGUUUCUUGGAGGAGAAAUGGGGGGGUUUUCAAUGGAGGGCCAUCAUUUCUUGGAUGGUUUUGACAAGGAAAAUGAUGGGAGAUCAGGGUUUCUUGAAUUUGGGUAUGGGUACCCUAACCAUCAGUACUUUGAGCUCAAACUCCCACAUGAUGAUACUCAACUUGGUCACCUCAGUCCACUUGGUGACUCUGAUGAAAAUGAUGAUCCGUUUCUUGAACUCCAAGAAACUCUAGAAGCCCCAACUCCUCAUCAUGUGCCUCAAAAUGAAACUUACCACCCUGCCAUUGUUUCUUCUAACGAGGAGGUCGGUGGGGUGGUGGUGGAGAAAAAAAAGGAAGAGAACAACAAGGAGGGGCUUGAGCAGCAGGCUCCAUCCCCUCCUCCUCCACAACAACUUCAUAAUCACCUUCGCAUUAGUUUUACUUCUGAUCUUAAACCUCGUCUUAGAUGGACACGAGACCUUCAUUCAUGUUUCGUUAAUGCUGUCAAAGAGCUUGGGGGACCCCAAAGUUAGUCUAUCCCCCUCUUGAAAAAAAAAACAUCGUUAUUUGGUUUCUCUAUUUCUUAAGUUAUUAUUAUGUGUUUUAAUAGUACUUUUUCUCAGUGCAUGUUCUGAAAUAUUUAAUGAUUAUAUGAUCAUCUCUCUGCUGUUUCUUUUUUUUCUGCAUUAAUUUCCAUCUGCACGCUUCUUUUGGUAUGCUAGAGAGGCCUAGUUGUUGAUGAUUAUAAGAUCAUCUUUUUGCUUUUUCUAAAAAAAUAAAUAUAGUUACAAAAACCUCUACUCGAUUGAACAGGAUAUAUGCCUCUUUUGAUAUGCCAAGGAUGACUAGUUGUUGAUGAUUUUAUGAUUAUCUUUUUGCUCUUUCUUAAUUUUAUCUGUACUAAAAUCUCUAUUGAUCAAAUAGGAUCUUCAUCUGCAUGCAUCCUAUGAUGAGCCAAAGUUUUUUUGUUUUACUAGAAUUCAUAGUUGUUUACAUCUAGAUCUGAAGUUUGCCUGGUUGGAUCUUUUUUUAAUAACCUUCUGAAUUUUCCUUUGCAUGCGCUCCUUGAAGAAAAUCAUUUUUUUUCCUUCUUCUGUUAAAGAUUUCUUCUUUGAAAUGCUUUUUACUUCAGCGAAUUUGCCUCUCUCUCUUUAUUUUUCUUCCCUUCUGUGUGCAUCAUAUUGUGUUUUCAUCUAAAGAAAACAAUUGCAUAAAGCACUACGGUCUCUAUCUGCUAUGUGACCUUUUCUCUCAAAGAGAUGUCACUCUAAUAUAUGGAAAUUCUUCCUCAACUAUGUGGCUUUCUUAUUCUUUGUCCUCUUAGCAUGCAGGUGAUUGUCUGUGCUCUCUGUUUAUUAUCUGGUGUUCUGUUCUUAGUUUUUAUUUUUCAUCUUUAAUAUUGUGUAGAUUAGUUUAAUGCAAGCCAUUGUGAUGGAUAAUGUUGUGAUGUAUGAUUUCUUUGAAACAAGUUCAGUAUUUUGUAAUGCUCUCUUAAUGAGUUGUUUUUAUUAAUUAGUUUCACCAGAUGCGAUUAUUGAAAUAUUAUUGAGACCAAUUUGGUGCUCAAAUGAAGUUAUGAUUUACUUAUAAAUUUUUUUCUAUGUUUGGUAUUGUGAAGCAUGCAUGUCGUAGAAGUUCUGUGGAUGUGAUUUGUUAAGGUUUUCUCUUAAAGGUAGCAACACUUUUGUUCGAUUCUGUUAUCACUAUAUAUGUGAUGGAAAUCUAGCAAUCGCAUGUUCUUUUGGUGGAAGAUCUUUUUUGUAUUGGUUAAUGGAUUAUAUGUCACACUAUUGAAUCCCUACUUGGAGAUUUUGGUAUUUCUAGUGGUUCUCAUAAACUGCACUUGGGAUCAUAAUUGAUCAUUUGCCAUGCACGUAGAGCGAGCUUGUCAGUAUCGCAAAUUUGUCGACUCGGAUUUAAAUUCUAACUGAUUUUUUGUUUCUUAAUGUUUGUCGUGUUCUCGUAGUUUUGAUAAAUAGGAAACCAUGAGAAAUUUGUUGUUCAAAAUGUGUUUGGUGGACGUUUAUGCGUAUUUGUUGGUUUCGUAAAUGUUCCCUUAGUUUGAUUGGAUGAUUUUAGAGAAAAUCUGGCAAUUCAUGGCUUGCACCAAUGAGUCUUUAUUGCAAAUAGCCGUUAGCGCUCUCUUUUUUGUUUUCAUCUUUUUUCCAGUCUUCUUUGAUUUUCAGACACGUGCACGGCUUCAAUUUUUGUUUUCCUUUGGUUUUAUGUGUUUCAGCAGUUAUUUGAGCUUAUUGUUCCUAGUUUGAGUCACAUUACCAACUGAGAGUUCCUGCUGGUAUUCUUUCCCUUUUUCAUAAAUGGCUUAGGAUGCAGUAGUUUUGAUUGCACAGAUAAGAAUUUACCAUAGAAGUCCAUUAGUGCACUCCUUUCCAUUUUUACUCUAGCUAGCUUUGUGUUUCUUUUCUUUUUUUACCAUAGAAGUCCAUUACCAACUCAUGUUUUCUUUUUUUUUUUGUGUUUCUGUAUUUAGAAUUGAGCUAACUAUUACUACUUACUAGUCUCAGUCACAUGGUAAUGCAGAGUUACUAUUAUUAUUUUCAUUUUGUAAUUUUAUACUAAAUGUUGCUUAGGAUAUGUAAAGCCAUUUGUUGUGUAAUUCACUAUGUUUCCUUCUUUAGAAAUUACUGUUUCAGCUGAUAAUGCUAACUAUCAUAUUCAGCUAUAUGGUUCAAUACGUUGGUCUUAGCAUGCAUGGGAAUAUAGGUGCAAAAAGCAGGGAAAGCACAAUAGAAUCAUUUGAUAGUAAAAGAAGACAAUGUGGACUCAUCUAAACCUAGUGGCCUGGAGGGCUCAAUCCAUAUAUUCUUUGGGAUUUGGUUCCAUCAGACUGAGAUGCAGUGGGAAAAAGAUAGUAUGCUAGGAGGGACUAGGGGAGGAGGGAGGGAUAAGAAGUGAAGGAUGGGGUGUUUCCUUGGUUUGGCUAGAAGGAUAAGAACCCAAGGACGUGUUGGGAGGAUCCCUCGAUUCCUUCUUCAUUUAUAGUUUUUAAUCAUCCUAAUUUGUGUGAAUUGACUAAUAUACAUAUCACUUCAUUAUCCAAACAACUAUAUGGAUGGUAAUGAAACUGUUUGCUUAGUCUACUUGUUGGACGGUUAGGAUUCCUUGGGCGGUUUAGGUUUUACUAUAAAUACAUAUCAUGUAACCCUAUUUCGAUAUAGUGAAUAAAAGCAUGUUGCUCCUGUGGAUAUAUGCACGUUGCGGAACCACGUUAAAUAUUGUGUUCUUUCUAGUUUCUCUUCUAUUGCAAUAUUCAUUAAUAAUUGCAAAAGAUUUUUCACGACACAUAUUUUGCGCAUAAUAUGAGAUACAAUUUUAUUUUACUUAAAAUUCAUUAGUUUACCUAGAAUGUUGUAUCAUUCUCAACAAGUAAUUUACUAAAUUUAUUUCUUGUCGGGCCUGAUACUGUCUCUAGCAGGUGAAUUGUGUUGUAUUUUGUUUCAAACUUUCAAGUAUCUAACCAUAAUAGCUCACGAAAUAUUACAUCAUUUGCUUUCUUUAUUAUAUUUAUACCACUUCUUUUAGGUGUUUUAGUAGCUUAAGCAUCUCAUGCCAUGCAUGACCUGUGAAUCAUAUUUGCAGAAGCAACUCCAAGGUCUGUUCUAAAGUUGAUGGAUGUUGAGGGAUUAACCCUUUUCCAUGUCAAGAGCCACCUCCAAGUAUGUUUAUUUCAAUUGCUAGAGUUGAAUGUUAGCACUUCAAAUUGUUAACAUUUUAGAAUAAGAGUGAAAAUUUAAUUUUAUACGAGGUGUUGAUUUAUUUAUACAUGAUUAUUGCAGAAGUAUAGACAAGGCAGACAGCGAGCCACUCAGAAAUGGUGAGUCUUUCUAAACAACACCUAGUUGGGAAUCUACCUGUCAUUAUUCUUCUAUCUGAAACUUCUAUCUGAAAAUUCAAGGUCAUCAAUUUAGUAAAUUGAACACAAAUAACUUCUGUAAGAUUCAGCAACAUCCUUUUGUGCUAACAUUUUAGAAUCAUAUUAGGGUGAAAUGUUUGGUAUUUUCUCCAGUUGUUAUGUUCGAAUUAUAUUGGAAAUACAUAUUAGGGUGAAAUGUUUGGUAUUUUCUCCGGUUGUUAUGUUCGAAUUAUAUUGGAAAUUCAUUAUUCUAAGCCUUCGUUAUCCUCUAGAUAUCUCCCACGAGGGAAAAGGGAAAGUUCUGAUUUAAUGCCGGUGCUAUCGAGGGCUUGAUAGUUAAGAAAACAGAGAGAAAGAGAGAGCAUGCUUGAUCUUUCUAUGCAAAACGAAAAGCUUUCUAUAACUUUGAGUAGAGCAUGUCAUCAUGAACCUGAUAUUGUAUUCUGAAUGAAUGGAAGGUAUCUCAGCUGCUCAGGGAUCCGAAGGCCCAAGUAGCUCUAUGAACUUGCCCCCGUCGCAAACGAAGAAGUAUGAUUAAUAUUUUUGUUGUCAUUUGGGAAAACCCUUGUUCUGCUAGUAUUUGGGGUUUUAUUUUCAUUUUGCAAUCAAGCUAACAGCUCCAAAUUUGUUGUUUCCUGGUGCUUCCAUGUCAUAUAUAGUCGACCCAAAGGCAAAUCAAAGGUUAAGAAAGAAGAUCGAGGCAGCCUUUAUCUGCAGAUUCAGGCAAGCUUCUUCUCCUUGUUUAAGAAUUAUUCUCUUUAUUCUUUAAGUUGAAAGGAUCUCACUGUUCAUUAUUGAUAUUCAGUUCUAAGCAUUACACAUGUGUUUGAUAGCCUCUACAUUCGGAAUGUUACAUGGACAACUUGGUUUGUGGUUGUCUGCUGCGGAUCAAAACAGCAAUCAACAAGCUACUCCUAUGCUUGUGGAUUUUGUAUUCAUUUCUUAAGGAAAUGGAUAUAAUUUUUAUUUUUAUUUUCCUUUGAACUUCAUACCAGAGUUGAAGUUCAUCUACUUUCAUCGUGUGCAGGCCCAGCGGACUAUACAUAGGUAUCUGCAUGCACAAGGGAGUUACCUCAGCAUAGCAAUAAAUAACGCGUGUAAGUUUGUUUCUAACCAGUGCGUUGAAGGCACAGCCCUGGAGAAUGGCAAUUACUAUGGGCAAGGCUUCACCGGAUCAGGAAACGCGGCCCUGCUGAUGCCGUAUUUUUACCAGAACCAGCUGAACGCGAGUUAUGCAUGUAAUUCAAUGGAGGCAGUCAAUGCAGGUAUUUCUGUUGAAAUGCCACGGAGUAGUUUCCAAACCCCAACGACAGUUCAAUCUGGGACUGAGAACAGCUUCGUUCCAGUCGGGCAUUCAGCAGGUUCAUAUCUGGAAGGUUCCAAAACACUUCCUGGACAAGGAAGCGAGGGGGAUGGGGAAUCAUAUGAGGGCCCUGCGGACGACUAUUUGAACUGGGAUGACACCUGCGCAAACAUCCUAGCUAUCGACUAUGGUCGCUUCGAUCCCGACAGAGGUGCCGGGACCUCUAAAUGACAGGCCGAAAUCAAUCAUCAGAAUUUGGUUGGUCUGGCCAGUGAAUUUCUACCCUUGCAUCAGGAGUGACCUCCCUACCUAUCUAUGAUGUAAUUAACAGCAGUAAGACUGGAUUGUGAAGACUUUCAGCAGUUAGUGUUAUGGUUUUUAUUUAUGAAGAAAGUGCUUUGAAUGUUUCAAGUAAAUAUUCCACUCACCUACUCCUGCAUUUUCUAUCUGCUAACGCCCGUACCUUCUUCUAGGUCGGAAUUUUGUUUCCUACUGAAAUCUCUCAACCUUGGGAUUAAGGUAUUGCAAGAUCCAGAUUUAAAUUAUUUGUUUAAACAAAGGUGGAUUUUGGCACGUGGCUGACGUCCUCCCCACCUUAAGCAAGGCAAGUUUUGAUCUUGCGUGACAAGGCGUGCAAAACGAAAUUUGAUCUUGCAUUACAAGGCAAUUUAUCUAUAGAUUAAGAGUUACUGUAUCUAAAGUGCACUGGCAGACACAUGAUAGGAGCAGGAGGCGUUAUUGAGGCCUGAGGGUACUCCUAACCUGCCUGGACAAUGUUACCAAUAAAUAUUUCUCCAGUUUCCAUGAGAGAGCUAAUUAAUGAAACUAAGGAAGAUGCAUUCAAAUUGUUUGGAGAUUUUAAGGAAUUGCAUUGCCUGCCAUAUGCACUUCUUUUAUCAAAAAGAAAAGGAUACAACAAAGUAAAUCAACACUACAACAUUUCUAGAGCAACGGAAAUGAUCAAAACAUUUUACGCGCCCCAAAUGAAGCUGCAAACUACUAUCAUGUCUUCUAACCUGGAAAAAACGUAUGUAAUAUAACAGGCCUUGAUGGAUUCAGGAUAUCAUCCGAGUCUUUAAUACAGCACAAGUUGAUCAGCUAGAAUUUAGCACGUGCGAAAGAUGUGAACCAAGAGAAUUUCCUCAUACUAUGGAGCAGACACCAAUGGCAACGUUUUAGUCUAUCUUUACAGAUGAGAAAAGGUAAUGCACAAAGUAGAACGAUGUAAGGAGACCAAUGGUGCCAGUAGACAACAUGAUUGCAAUUGCCAUGAUCAGUGAAUAGCCCAGAUAGAGUAUGGCUGACACGGGUCCACUCAAACUCUGUAGGUCAAAGACCAGGUAAUUGAUGGAGUACAGAAAGACAAAGAUUGAAACUGAACCAGAAGCAAAGAAAGCCUUCCACCACCACCGCCAAUCCUCCACACAAAGAUGCAUGUAGGUAAGAACCACAGACACUUCAGCACAGACAAUAACCAGGAGCAGCAGAACUAUCAGCAAGAAACCGAAUACAUAAUAAAACCGUCCAAGCCAGAUGCUUGAGAGAAUAAAAAACAGUUCAAUGAAAAGGGUCCCAAAGGGAAGGGUUCCGGCACCCAGGACAAGCACCCAUGAUGGCAAUUUACGUGCAGGAAUUUCUCUUGGUAUCUGGUUUGUUCUCACUGGGUAUUGAAUUGCCUCAGCUCGUGUCCCCAUGAAUCCUCCCAAGAGAGUGAGUGGCACUGAAAUGCAGAACCAGAGGGACAAAAGGACAAAAUACAAGGAAAUAGGAAUAGCACCAGUACUAUGGCUUCCCCAGAGAAUGAAAUUCAAAAUUGUUAGGAUAACAAAGACAAUCCCAGGGAAGAAGGACGCAACUGACCAAGAGAUGGACCUCCAUCCUUCUGAAGUUCCUUUGAUGGUUCUCCACAUGCGUACUGCAGCAUAGCCUGCAGCAGUACCUAGGAAAAGAUACAGAAGAAUCAUCCCUGUCAGCAGCAUUCCUCGUGAAGCUGGCGACAUGAAACCAAAGGCUGCAAAAACAAUAGUAACUACUGCCAUCCCUGUAAUUUGAACACCAUCUCCAACCAUCACACAGAGAAGCUUUGGGCAAUCUGGUUCUCUGAACACAUCACCGACAACAAGCUUCCAUCCAGAAAGCUCCUCAUUCAUCUGUGCUUGAGCUUCUUUGUCUAGUUCCUCGUACCUAGUCAAAUCCCUUCUCACAGUCCUUAAGAAGAUGACGAAAACAAUACCAGCCAGGAAAAAGAUCACCAUGAGUGAGUUCAGGAUUGAGAACCAGUGAACGCGAGCACCUUCCAUCUUCAAGUACGCAUCCCAACGAGAUGGCCAUCUAAUGUCACUUUUCACAAAUUCAACCACGUAGGUGAAGGAUAUCCUCUCUUGCUCCCUUAUGAUCUGAGACUUGUCGAGAUCCGAGGGGCAGUCCACAAGUGAGAUGUUGUCAUAGAUAUGGUGCUUUGUCAUCACUUCAGGAUCAUACUUAACACUGCAAGGCACAACCACAAAACCAACAAUCUCGAAACCAGAUGCCUUCUUCUUAUCAGAUUCAGAAAUCAUACCCAUGCCUUCUUCCCCAGUACCAAUAACCUCAACACCACUCCCUUCAUACUCAUGAACCAACACAGUGAACUUGAGGUGAUUGAUUAUAUAAUCAUCAUUACUAUUUUGUGGUGUAUACCCAACAGGGAAACCGGUCCACUGAAUGUCAAUUCCAUUUUGCUUGGCAUACCUCAUCACAGGCAAAUUAUCCAAAAUCAUGUUCACUUGAUAUAGAUCACGUGUUCUCUGCUUCAGAAGCUUAACCUCAUGCUCACUCAAAGGCUUGGUAGUGCAAAGGUAAACAGACUCAUUCACAUUCAUUCUAAACCUGUAAGGAGAGUUAUCGAUCUGAUCUCCCAUAAGAAGCUCCCCAAGAUUCUCAGCACUUUUUUUUAUUCCACCAUGGGGUUGGCAAUAAGGGAGACUGUAGUAGCUAAAAGGAAGCUCGGUUUCAAUAGAAGUUAAGGAGUUAACUUUGGCAACGAUUUCAUCCCCGGUUGAAUACGUGUGCAUAUAGCUACCAGGCAAAUAAAACCCAUUGCAUGCUUUGCCAAACAAAACCAGAAGAAGGAAAGCCCAACAGAUCAUGGGCGUCCUCAUUUUCAAUACCAGCAAAAAAAAAGCCACUGGAUUAAACAAAACAAAACAAUUUUAACUCAGUACUCAACCCAAUCUUAUGCCACAAUGCACAUCAAUCAAACAUGAUUGGAUCAACACGCACGCCACACCAAAACAAUAGAGUCAUUCAAAAUUCCAAAACUCUUAGCCAAUGAUAGAUCCAUUAAUUAACCAUAAACUCGUAUAUCUAUCGAUACGAGCAUCAUCUUAAUACAGUUAGAUCUGAUUAGGAAGCUUUACUUUAAAAAAAAAUCAAUAGCAGAUCAGAUAUUUAGAACUGCAGAGCAAUGCAAUUACUUAUUUAAAAUAAAAGAGUAAAAGCACAUUCCAGACACCAAAACCGAAUCCACCAUGAAACAAUACUAGCAACGCAUCAUACCCAGAUCUACUAAAAUCCAUAGGUAUAGCAUUAAAUUAACAAUAAAUUUGAGGAGGAGGUUAGUUACCUCAAUCAGAUCUAGAAAAGUCGUAAACGGUUCGUGUGGAGAGAGAUCGGAUCCGGAUUCGGAGAUGCCCAGGGCGUUACGCAGAGCGCUCGCUCUUUCUCUCGCGAAGUGGAAGAUUCUUCUGUGGGUUUUUUUUUGUCUUGUUUUGUGCGUGGGUGAACUGAAGAUGGAGAAAGGGAAGAGAAAUCACUGAAAUGAAAAGGGAAAGCACGAAUCGGGUGCGUGUGAGGUAUGGAGAGAGUUACAGGGUUACUUAACGAAGGGUGUCUUUAGAAAAAUGUAGAAUGGUUAUAGUUCAAAAUAUAUUUUUUUUAAUGUAUUAAAAUAAUAUUAUAAAAAAAUUACUUUUUAUAUAAAUAUAUUAAAAUAAUUUAAAAACAUAAAAAUUUUAAAUUUUAAAUAAAAAAAUAUAAUCUUAACCGUAUUUAUAAAUAUACAUAAAAUACUUUAAAAAGAAAUUGGGUCGUUACGGCUUGGCCCCACUAUGUAUGGGAUGGGUUAACUUAAUUUGCUGACCGACUUGUCGGUAUUCAAAAAUUCUCAUAAAUCCCCCGACCGUUGGUGGAGAUUAAGAUAACCGGUAUUUAAUGAGAAAAUAGUGCAAGGAGUUAUUAAAAAGUUAAUUUUGAUGUAUCCUUUGUCGUAAAAUCAAAAGAGUUUUUGAAAACUAACCUUACAGGAGGCAAGGUCUCUAUAUUUGAUUGAUGAGAAUAAAAUAUAAAAAAUUUAUUUUAUUUUUAAUAUAUAUUAUUAUUAAAUUUACAUAUUUAAAAAGUAAUUAAAUAUUAUUUUUUAUUAUAGUCUAUAUUGAGUAUUAAAAUUAAUAAUAAUAUAAUAAUCCAAGUUAUAAUAUAUGGUUCACCCUAGCAAGUUAACCCGAGACCUAGACCAAUCUAGUUUAAGAAAAAAUAGAGGAAUAAUUGACAUAAAUAGUUUCGAUCAAAAACUCAAAUCAACCUAUGACUAGGUCAACCCAAGGUAAAACCUAAGUUAAAAAACCAUUGGCUUUUUUUUAUUUUUUUAUCAAAACAAUGUUAUUCUGAUCAUUUUAAAAAAAUAGAAUUAACACAAGUUGACCCUCCUAACCAUGACUCAAGCAUUAUCUCAGUUUGAACACGAGUCAAAUCUUAAAACUAUAAUAAUUAUUAUUUUUAUUGUUACAUGUCUUAGUUGGAUAAUUUUAGAAUUAAGAGUUUUUUACAAUGAUAUUUUAGAGAUAAAAACUUUAAAAAAAAAUUGUCGUUGAAGACAUAUCCACUUUAUAGCUUCUAUUUUGAAAGUGUAAAAGUUCAUUAUAAAAUUGUUUAAGAAGUAGGUUUAUUUUUAUGUUCUUAUCACUAUCUCUUCAACCAAGCAUUUUUAUUUUCACAUUGUCUCUACUUUGCUUUUUUUUAUAGGAGUCAUUAGUUUUACUUUUUGUAUUUUAAUAAAAAAAUCUAAAAAAGAAUUAUGUUAUUUUAUGUCUAAAAAGUUUUGAAAAUGAAAAUGAAAAAUAAAAGGCAAACAUGGUUAGAUGUUUCUUAUGCGCAUUAUUCCAAGAGUCAUAUUGAUAAUUAAAAAAAAAAACUACAAGGGAUUAGCAAAUCAUUGUGGCCCAUUGUAAAUUAGAACAGUGUAAUGAUUAUUUUGCCCUACUCAAACAAAAUUAACUAAUUUGCUAUCAGAAAUAAUAUAAUCUUUACCACAUGAUCCGCGAGUUAAUGUCAAACUGAUUUGGAUAAAUCGGUCUUAUCAUAAUUUUUAGUACACUAAAAUAACUUGAUUACUAUUAAAAGCAAAAAAAAAAUAUUAAACUUGGGUUAAUGAGCUUUUUCAUCUUAUCAAUUUUUAAAACACAAUGAAAUGAUAAAAAUACUCUUAAAAUCAAAAUUUCUUUAACUUGCAUCAAGGGGCAUUUUAAUCUCUUUGUUGUGGUUUUUUUAUAAUGAGAUCCACUUAAGUGUUAUUUAGUAAUUUAACAAACAUAAAUAUUAUUAAAACAAAGAAAGUGGUUGAUGCUUCGCCCUCCAUUCCUAGGUAGCAUGUGUGGUCACAACAUCUGGUUUGGUGCCAAUGAUCUUUUUCUUUUCUUUUCUUUCUCCUCCUCGAUUUUCAUGUCUAACCCUUAAAAUUUUCAGAGCAACUCUUCAAUUUGUUUUUCCUUCAAAUUUGAUCCAUGUUCUUUUAAUUACUAUUUAUUUAUAUGAAAUAAUUUAUAAAAUUGAAAUUUAUUUUUAAUUUCAUCCUCCUUUGAAUUUUUCUCAUAUAACAGAAUUAGUCAUUUUUCUUUUUAUUGCUAUUUUUUUAAUUUAAGGUAAUUUUUUAAAUUGAAUUUUUUUUUAUGAUUUUAUCCUUCUUUAGUUUUUUCCAAUAAUUUUCCAUCCUCAUUCUUUUGAUUGAUAGUUUUUUUCCUUUGGCAAAUUUUUUAAGUUGAUUUUUUUUAAUUCAUCUUUCAAUAUUAAAUUGGUUGAAAAUUGAGUUUCUUGAUUGAGCACAUGUCUAGAAUUUCAUGAGUUGUGAGUUUAGGAGAUUAACAUAGUUUUAAAAGAUUUACCUGAAUUUACAUGUUUUUUUUCUUUUUUUAAGCUCAUGUUUUUUCAAUUUCAUUUUUUAGCAUUUAUUUAAUUGGAGAUUGGGCUUGUUAUUUUUUUUAUUUUUUUUCUAUUGGAUUUUUCACCGAUUUUGAAAAUGAUUCAAGUUAUCCCACUUUCAACAUUGAGUUUUAUAAUAAUUAAGCUUCAUAGUUUUAUUUAAUAUGUUUUUGACGAGAUUACCAUUAUAUCACAAUUAGGUCGCGAAUUUAGCAUUUGAAAGUUUAGGUGAACCCAGGAGGGGGUGGAUUAGGUUACCCAUUAAAAACUUCUUCAUAGCUUAAAGCACAAUACAACACAACCUAAAGAUCAAACCAAAUAAGUAACUCAAGUAUCAAUAGAAACAAACUUAAAUAAACAUUGAAACAAUCAACAUUUUAAGACGAUCAUAAAUAAAUAGAAAAGAGAGUUAAGAGGUUAUGCACUCAGAUUUAUAUAGAGGUUUGAACAAUCGCCUACUCCUCUCCCCAAACCACCGUUUAAGAGUUUCACUAACACUCACUUGGUAUACUUCAUGGGUGAGACCAAACCUUUACACAAUCUUUUUUACAUGUUAAAGAUUAAAACCUUUCUCAAUCUUUUUUGGAGUUUAAGAUCAAACUCAAUCAUUUUACGGGCUCAAGAUUAAAUUCAAUCCUUCUGCACAGGCUAAGGAUCAAACUUAACACUUUAUCCUCUAACGAGUACAAGAUUAGAAAACCUUUUCUGACCCAUACUUGUAAUUAGACAACUAUUAAAUCACUUAAAUAGUCUUUAAGAGGUUUUUUCAAGUGUUUAAGUGUCACUUAUACUUUCCACAAUACUACCCUCUUAAUAUAAUUGAAUGGAAUACAAAUGAAGCGCUUGAAGAAACUUUACCAAUAAUAAUUCAACCUUGUUUCUAGAUAAAUCAAAAGUAAAGCUAAAGUUGCAGGAGGUUGUUAAGAGUGAGAAUAUGAUCAUAAUUUUGCCUUGAAUGUCUUCAAUCAUUUUGCUGAAGUAAGAGGUAUUUAUAAAGCUAAAAGAUCAAAUUAUCCAUUCAGCACACUUUUCAAAAUAUUUUUGUCUGUUGAAGAAUUGGUUAGAUCAUUGCUAAAACCGUUUAGACCAUUUUACCAAAUGGUAACCUGAUUUUUAAAUCAACUACCGAUUUAGCUACUAGAAGAAUUCUCCUAUUUUGUGUACUUUGGUAUUUUCUUGGUUUUCUUAUGUUCUUUUGAGUUUGUUGAGGUUUUGUAGGUAUGAAAAAUUAUUCCUAAAUGACUUGAAAGUUAUUUGGUAAAACCUUCUUUACAAAAUCUUGAUAUUUUAAGUUGAAAGUCGUUAUUGUCUCAAGAUUCUUAUUUGAAGUAGAAAAUUAUCAUUACAUCAGUCAUGUAUCUAUACCUUGCUACUUUGAUGAUUUCUGUCACGAUCGAUAUCUCGGUGACCUUUAAAAAUUAGAAGAAAAAAAUAAAUAUAUGACAUAUAUUCUUAGAUGGAAAGGUCUUGUUUAAGGAGUUGUCACCUAGUAUGUAGUUAUUAGAAACUCUAGCCGGUUAACAAAGAUUUUAUGGUUCGGGUCUAACCAUGCAAAAAAGAAGAAGAUAUCAUUACCCACAAAGCAUUCUACUUAAGGGAGGUUGUAUUGUUGGUUUUGUCUUAAAUCGCUAUGGGUUGUUAUGUUAUCAAUGGUUUGCCUAUAUUAUUUUUUACUCUGGCUUCAAUAAAUAUUAGGUUUAUUAUUUCUGAUUUUGGUUAGUAAAUACAAAGAAUGAUAUUUUUUAUUUUGGCAUCGGCAAAUACCAGGGUUGGUAUUUCUAACUGAUAUUAGUGAAUAUUUUUUACUCUAUCAUCAGUUAAUACUAAUUGUGAAUCAACUUAUCUUGAACAAUCUUAGGUUAAGUUUUGAGAUGAACAUUGAACCCUCGAGAAUAGCAAAAAUAAACUUUGAAUCCUUUUAAAAACCUUCUCAUUGUUUAUUUUCAAAGAUGAAAAAAUGAUGAGUUUGAUUUUAGUUUUUUGUAUAUAAGCCCAAUAAGCCAUUUAUUUUAGGCCAAACUUUUAAUGAACUUGAUAAACUUGUUAUCAGGGUAAAAAACAAUACAUCUUUUAAUGCUAAAAACACAAACAUCUUUUUUUUAUGCUAAUCAUGAUACUUUUUAUGCUAUAUUAUACAAAGAGAUAUUUUUUUAGUCUUGGCCAUGUGCAAUUUUUUAAGAAAAAAAUGAUUUUUUAGUAUUCUUUAUUCGUUCUUUUUUUAUAUGUUAUUUGUUAACACAAACCAAAAAAAUAACAAAAUAAAAUAAAAUCAUGCAUAACGCACACACUCAUUCUUUACUAAUCCACUCUCACACACUUAUAAUUACACAUUUACAAUUUAAAUCACAAGCAAACACACAAUGAACAUAUCAAUGUAAAUAAAAUCCCUCUAAGCUCCCAAAAUCCACCUCUAAAGGCAAAUGAAACUGUCAAAAUUAACAAAAAAAAAAUUGUUAGAACAGUGUCAGUUUAUGGCAAUAUGUAGGUGACACGCACAGCCGAGGAUGGUAGGGCGUGCAAAUGACGUUAUGGUGUAUUGAGAGGUGCAUGGCGGAGUGGAUUGGGAAACUCUUCCUCUCCUCUUUAUGCUAGCGGUGAAAUUCACUAUCAUAUACAAACAAAAACACCACACAAGCAAAGUUUUGGAUUUUAUUUUUUACAUAUAUAUACUUCUUUGGUUAAGAAGGAAAACAGGGUCUAGCUUGUGAAAAUCAAAGGAACAACAGUGGAUAUGGAAAUAUGUUAAUGAGUGGGUCAUGUUUGGUCUAUGGGUCGUGUGUAGGUGGUGUUAGGUUGAAAGCUUGAAGUAGAGGAGAGGGAGGAUAUCUUUGGGUAUGUUUUAAGUUCAGGUUUAAUGGGUCUAUGGUGGUUUUAUGGGUCUUGAUCGGUCGGUCUUAUGGUGUUGACUGAACGAGGAGGCUAGUGUUGGAUCGUUGUUUGUGGUGGUUUGAUCGUGUGUAAGCUUGUGGCAGUUCAGUGCUGGUUUAGUCGGUUGAAGGUGCAAUGAAGGGAAAGGUUGUGGUGGGUGAGCUACUGAUCCAUGACUAGGUUGCUGGUGGGUGGUGGAGCUAAAGUUGUUACUUGUAGAAGAGAGGCUGACAUGAGGAGGAAGAGGAGGAAGAGGAAGAGAGCUUGGCAUCAUUGGUGGCUUUGGUUUCAAAAAACAAAUUGAGGGAGAAAAGGGGCAGCUGGUCUAGGUAGCGCUGAAAAGAGAGAGAAACAAAUAAAAAGCUUAGGGUUUUUAUUUGUUAGUCACAGUGAGGGAGAGUCUUGGUCUGUGAGGAGUGGUUGACUGAGAGGGAAGGGGAGGAAAGGCAAUUGGUCUUGUCUUUUUUCUUUUAUGUUUUUUUUAGGAAGAAAAUAGACAGGGUUUUGGGUCUUUUUUAUUUUUUUUUUCGGUUUUCACUCUAAUCUCGUGAUUUUUUUGUGUAUGCUCUUUUUUAUCUCUUUUUUUUAUAUGUUCCCCCUCCCCUUUUUUGUAUAAUGAGGUAUGCAUUUAUAGUAGAGAGUUUCAAAGUUCCAAACAAACACAAACUCUAUCUUUUUUUUUCAAAUUUAAAUUUGUUUAAAAUUUAAAAUCAAAAGGGUUAACUGAAAAUAUUUUGAUGAUCUUUUUCAAAUUGAAGAUCAGGAGAAAAGGGUAAAUGCACACUAUAGUACCUAGUUUUCCCACAAGUUGACAAAUCACACCUUUAAUCGAAAUUAAUCCCUGAUAUUUUAAUAUCUAUUUCUUAACCCCUCUAAAAGAUAAAUUAAUAGCAAAUAGGUCAAAAUUAGGUUAACAAUUUCCUUGAAUGAUUUCAUUCUCUUGAAGCCUGUAUAAAUCAUCACAAAGCUUUAUAUAUAUAUUCAUUAAGUAGAACUACUUAUCCUAGCUCAUAAGCAUACCUUGACUUUGUAUAUAAUCAUCAUAUAACUUAAGUACUCAUGCAUAUUUCAUAUAAACUUAAGCAUUAGUGCAUGUUUUAAACCAGCAUUUUUUUUAUAGGCAUUCAAAUAACUAAAUAAUUAUCUCAUUAUUCAAAAACAUAAAGAUUCAAAUAUGAUAUCAUAAACGUUAAGCAUAUGAGAUAAAUCAAGUUAAGUUAUAAGUUUAAGACAAAUUGACUCUUGAAUGCAAAACAUGUCAAAUAUUGAGUUUAAAACAACUUAACUUUUGAGUAUAAAACCAGUUAAACAUUAAAUUUAAAAUGACUUAGCUUUUAAAUAUAAAAUCAAGUUAAGUACAGCUAUUCAAAAGUAUUGCUAAACCACUUUGUUGAAAAUAUAGACAAUAAACUUUUAGUGUGAUCAAAUAAAUAAAACACAAAAAAUCAUUUAAUCAAGUUAAAGAAAAAAAUGAUAUAGCUCAUUAAAGAUAUUAACUUGCACAUGAAUACAUAUAAGUAACAUAUUAAUGAAACUUCACUUAUUCAUGUAAAACAUUAUUCAAAACAAAACAGUACUUAAUUAGUAUUCUUUCAACAUAUUAAUGCAACAAAUAAAGUCAAUUAAAAUAUCAUUUUUUUAUGCUAAUUUAAGUUGUCAAUGUAAAACAUGUACAUAAACAUACAUUAAAUAACAUCAAUCAUAUAUUUCGUUAUCAUUAAAAUCUGAUACCAUAUAUAAACAUAUAUUAAACAACAUCAAUUACAUAUUUUGUUAUCAACAGACUCAUACAACAUUAAUCACAUGUUUUUUAUAAUCAAAACCUUAGAAUUGGUAUGUAUCUAGACUAAUAGCAUGCUAACCUGGAUAAGCUCAGGUUGGGUCUUUUUAAUUUUUCUUGGAUUAUAUUUUUUUAUGCAAUUUUGUCCUUUAAUAUUUUGUUUGCUAGAAAUUAAGCUUUAAAUUUUACUUUCUAUGGGUUAUCAUGUUCUCAUUUAAUAUUUUUAAUUCAUUAUUAGAUAAGAUCUUUCAACAUUUGCUUUUUGUAAAAUUUAUUUUUGUAUUUCAAUUUCAUACUUCAACAUUAGAUUGAUUAGGAAUUGGUCUUCGUGUUUUUUUUUUUCCCUUUCUAUAGGGUUAUCCCAAUAUAAGCCUAUGAUAGCAGGGUUAACUGGUUAACCUAGUUUAACUCAAGUUUUUUUUGUUGUUUUUUUUUUAAAAAAACAAAUUCUUCAAUAUUGUCCUUUAAUAUUGGGUUGUUUGAUAAUUGAGUUUCAUGGUUUUAUUCAAUUUAUUUUCAAUGGGGUUAAUCCAGUAUCAUGACCAAGUUGCAUAUUUGUCAUGUUGACCUGGAUGGGCUCGAGUCGGUUUUUUUUACUUUUUUUUCGUUGCCAAUUUUUGUUUUCAUUUUACUUAUUGUCGUAGUAUUUUUUUCAUUCAUAUUAUUAAAUUAGCCGAACUUAUUAAAUUUAAUUAAGUCAAUGAAUCGAGUCUAAGAUUUUUUUAGGAAUGCUUGCAUUGUUUUAACAUUCUUUUUUUAUGUUGGAAAAAAAUCGGGUCAACCCGUGGUAUAAUACGAGUCAUCUAUCUAGUUAACAAAAUACUAAACAAUAUGACUAAAUCACAGUAACUACAUGAAUAAUGUUUCAUGUUUUUUCUUAUUCAAUUUCACCCCUUUUUUAAUUUAGUUUUUUUUUUAUCAUUCAAUAUUAGGUUGUGUUUGUGAAUUGUGGUUCAAAAUUUUUUUGAUUUCUUUUCUUUUGGGUUAUAUAUCAAUCUCAUGGAUCCAUUUUUUUUCUUGAUUUCAAUCUUCAACAUUAAAUCUAUUGGAGGUGGAGCUUCGUAAUUUUUUUAUUCGUUUUCUAUAAAUUUAUCUCAAUUUUAUAACCUAGGCUGUGGGUUUAGCAUGUUAAUUAGGGUUAACUCGGUUUAUUUUUUUACUACUUUUUCUAAUUGUUUUUUUUAUUUCAUCAUUCAACAUUAGGUUGGUUAGAAAUUGGGCUUCAAGUUUUUUUUAUUUACUUUCUAUGAGAUUAUCUUUAUCUCAUGACUUAGGUCACGGGUUUUGUAGGUUUACAUAGGUUGAUUUUAUUCAUUUUUUUUUCCUUUUUAAUUAAAUAUUUUCUAAUUUGGCUGCAUAAUUUUUUCCGAUUUGUUCUCUAUAAGGUUAUCUCAAUUUAAUGACAUGGAUUACGAGUUUGAUAGGUUAAUUCGGGUUGAUUUGAUUCUCUUUUUAGAUCCUUUUGUAAUUGAAUAUUGUUUUUUCAAUUUCACCCUCCAACAAAUCAAUCUUAUUUUUUAUAUAUUUAAUUGUUUUUUUUAAUUUUAUAUUUCAAUAUUAAGUUGUUUGAGAAUUGGAUUUCGUAUUUUUUAAUUUGUUUUUUGUAAAGUUAUCUCAAUAUCAUUAAUUUAGUUUUUUUUCUCUUCUCGAUUUCAACCUUCAACAUUGAAUAUGUUAGAAAUAGAGAUUCAUAAUUUUUUUAUUUGAUUUUUAUAAAGUUAUUCAAUCUCAUGAACCAAGUUGUGAGUAAGGUAGGUUACCCAGGUUUCCUCGGGUAGGACUUUUUUGUCAUUUUUUUAAUCUAAUUUUUUUUUUAAUUUUAGCUUUCAACAUUGGAAUUAUUAGGAAUUGACCUUCAUAAUUUAUUUUUAUUUGCUUUCUAUAAAGCUAUCACAAUCUUAUGACUUAAAUCGUAAAUUUGACAGGCUAACCCAAGUCAAUUCAAUGUUUUAUCGUUAUAAUAUUUGAAAAAAAUAUCAUCCAAUAUAUUGCCUUAUCAAUAUUUUAAAAAAAAUAUCUUCCAAUAUACAUUAUAUUUUAAGUUCAUAAUUAACAAAAUUUUCUUAUUAAAAAACAUGUUAGUGAAGUUUGAAUUUUUUUCUCUACAUUAAAAAAAUGACCCGACUGACCAUAUCUGGUGAGAGUAAUAAUUAAAAUGAUUCGGUAAUAAUUAUUGCCCUAUUUAUUUUUACAUUUAAAAAAUACUCUUACAAAAAUUUAAAUAUUUUUUUUUUCUUCAAGUUAAUUAUUGUGGAUUACAGCACCUAAUAACAAUAUCUGGUGAGAGUUCUGAGGUUACACAAUUAGAGUUGAGCCCGAAACACACAAGCAGUGGCCCAGCCCAAAGCAGAAAAGAAGGCCUCUACUCUCCUCUCCUGUUCAGAAAUCAUAAAAACACACACAAAAUCGAUCGAGUGGAAUCAUCAGCGCCACCACUCCCUUCUUCAAUCCUCAUUUCCAUUUGAUUCGACCGCACUUUUUAGUUUCAGGUUAGUUUUUCUGUCUUUUAUAUAUAUACACACACUAAGAAGAAGAAGAAAAGUCUCUUCAAACUCCAUAUCCUCGAUCUCCUUUUAUUUAUUUAUUAAUAUAUAUGUUAAACCCUACUCAUUUUGUGGGCAGGUUUUUGGGCUAUUCUAAUAUUUUCUGUUCUUGAAAUUGAAAUAGUUUUUCUCUUUUGAAUUUUCAUGUUAUUAAGACUGUAUAGGUUUUUGUAGAAAUGGCUCUAUGUAGAAAUGCUAAGGGUCCUCUUUCAAGAAUGCUAACUACCAGGCCGGGUGUUGGCUAUGGACAAAGUUAUUCUACAGCAGCCAUCGCCACUCCCAUUUAUCAGUCUGCAGAUGACAAAACUGCAUUUAGAUAUGCAUUUGGAGUGCUUUCACGGCGAUUUUGCUCUCAAACACCUCCUGCUGCAGCAGUCCAAAUGAGUCUCAUUAAGCAAUUGAGAGAACGGACUAGCGCUCCUAUCAAAGAUGUCAAGGCUUCUCUUGUCCAAUGCAAUUGGGAUAUUGGUAAGAGAAUGGAUGAAAGAGAAGUUGGAAUUAUUUUUUUUUAUUUCGUAAUUUUUAUGGUUUUGAAUUUGGGAUGUGGUGGAUUAAUUUAUCUGUACAUGUAGAGGCGGCACAGACGGAUUUGAGGAAAAGAGGGAAAGUUUUGGCAAUGAAAAAGGCGGGUAGAGUUGCCACUGAAGGAUUGCUUGCAUUGGCUCAGAAUGAGGGGAAGGCUGCUGUUAUUGAACUUAAUUGUGAAACUGACUUUGUUGCCAGAAAUGAAAUUUUCCAAUACUUGGUUAGUUUGUAGUUUUUUUCACUUUUCGUUGUACUAGCCUUCUUUGGGGAUUUAAAGUUGCCUCCAAGUUCUCCAUGGUUAAUGUUCCGAACCUUAUUCUGUUAUUGUGAUAAUGCAGGCUUUAACUUUAGCAAAGCAGGCUUUGCUGGUUGAAAAUGCUUCUCAGCUGGUUUCGGGGGUCCACCCUGUAGGUCUCGAGUCUCUGGAGGUGAGAUGAUACUUUUUUGUUUACAAUUACUUUUCCUGGGAUAAUUUUCAGUAGCUCAUACUGUGGUAUCUGACUUCAAUUAGGUUUUGAGUUCCCCAACAUAUUAGGAUCUGUUAGUGAAAUUGGGUUUCUUGGAUGUUAUGAGUGAAUAAUUUUAUCCUAAUCAGGAGUUGAAGUUAAAUCUUGAACAUCCAAAAAUAAGUGGAGAUACAACUGUUCAAAAUGCAAUUACAGAAGUGGCUGCAAUGAUGGGUGAGAAUGUAAGACUCAGAAGGGGCUUUGUGAUGUCUGCACCUUCACCCGGUGUUCUUUCCACUUACCUUCAUACUAGUCCUCAACCAGGUACAGUAUUUUGGAAGUGCCUUCCUUUCUUUUCAAAGAAGAUUUUAUUCUUGCAUGCACACACAGCACAAACACCCUUGGCUCAUACUCAUAGAAUGCUCAACAGAACAUGCCAUGAUUUCUAAAAUUUCAUAUGAGCUAGAGGGUCUGGGAUACCGAAGGAUCUCAUUUGGCUUGUGCCACCCUAUGUGCAUGGAUGUAGGUUUGGGCCGUAUUGUGGGACUUUUAUCUCUUGAGAUAGAAGAUGGAAAUUCUCCGUUGGAGGCUCUCCAGCGUGUUGGAUCAGAAUUGGCUGUGCAUCUGGUAGCUGCAAAACCAUUAUUCUUGACUAAGGAAGGUGUUUCCUCUGAUGCAUUAGAGAGUGAACGUGAAAUUCUUAAGUCUCAGGUAAAUUGUUACUUGUGAAUCCAUGCUAGCUCUGUCGGUAGAUCUUAGAAGUCCAUCUUGAUUUGUUCUAUUUCUCUGUUGUCGGUUAACCAUGAUGUUAGAUCUGAGAAGCCCAUCUUACUUUGUUCUAUUUUUCAUACCUGCUUUUAGUCAUUUGUUUUGAAAUUUCAAAGAUCUCUUUCUGAAGUAUUUUCUUGUUAUAUCGUAGUUCCGACCUUUUUCUUUUGGGCUACAUCUAAGACAUUUAUAACCUAAUUUAGCUUUGUGGAUGCAUCUUUGCUUUGAUGAUUGUACCUUUUCCAUUUGAAGGGUUAGUUUGUGGUUUUAGAUGUUGCAUAUGUGAUGCUAUCCACCAAACUGAAGCAACAGGGUGCUGCAAGAUAUUAUGCUAUUGGAUCCUAGGCAGAUGAUGAAAUAUAAAAUCCAAUGAGAAAUUGAUAAAAUCAAGAUGAUGACAUGGGCAGUAUCAAAUCUUUUGGUAUGAUGCAUUUCUUAGGAGUUAAGUGUUAUUGCAUGAAUAUUGGUUAUGUUAUGACAAAAAUAUGGGUUGAGGUUUUCUAACAAAAAAGGAUAGAUUUGGGCUGUGAAAAGUAUUGAUUUCACUGAUGAUUGGACAUUAAAGGAACUACAAAUACAAAGGAAUUGGUGCUGCUGAUUCCAAGGUUCAUCUCAGUUGGGUUUGCAUCAGAAAACGUUCAUUUUGGAACUUCCUGUGGGAGAUGCAUAUUUUUCUUGUUAUGUUUAAGCCAUCAUUGACCAAUGCUAUUUGCAUUACUAUUUUUCUUUGGUCAUAUUGCUGCAUCAUUAUAUUAUUGUGUAAAAAAGAUGCAUGUCAGUCAAUGUUAGAUUAAAUAUGACAUAGGCAAACUACAUGCAGUAACCUGUACAAUAUAGAUUGAUUGAGGCAUGUUAACAUGUAGAUCCUUCUGUUGUGAAGGAUGUUCUAAUGGUUAUGCUGAAAAGUUCUCUACUUUUUUUGUUCAUUUUUUGGUAGGUUAAUGUACUUUACAACUGUUUUCUAAUUGAUUUAUUUUUCCAUGUAAAGAUUUUAAUUAUUAAUAAUGGGUUUUUAUAUGUCAGGCAGAAAGUACAGGGAAGUCUCAAAUGGCCAUAGAGAAAAUGGUGGAAGGCCGUUUGCGUAAAUACUACGAGGAAGUUGUUUUGAUGGAGCAAAAAUUUGUUAUGAAUGAUACAAUGAACGUAAAGGUAUUCCAGGCCACCAUCUUUCUCUCCAUCACACACACACACACACUCUGCACAAGCGUGUGAAUGUGUCUUGUUUGUGUGUGCAUCAUAUGAUUUAUACAAUGCAAUUGUAAAAAAAGUGUCUUACAUGCUGCAUCACAGACACUGCUCAGCAAUCUAUCGAAGGAAGUGGGCUCGCCUGUGAAGAUAGGUAACUUUUUCAGAAUGGAAGUUGGAGAGGGAAUUCAAAGGUAUAGAAUGCUUUUCACCUGGAAGAAAACAUAGAUCUAGUGACUAGGGAAUAAGGAUUUUUUUAACAAUUAUGUCUUCUCCUCUCUUUGCAACUUAUUUGGUAUUUCAAUAUUCCAAAGGCAAGGAAUAACCAUCUUUGUACCCAUAAAUUUACUCAGCCUUGAUUACCACGGGAAACUAUCCCUGUCCUGGUACGAACCUUUGAUGCCAUUUUCAGAAAGCCUGGUGGCAUUCUGCAUGUAACAAUGUUACACUGUAACAGAUAUGGUGUGGUAUCUGAAUAGCAGCAAAUAAAUGUGACUUCACAAUUAAUACUGGUUUGUUAACACUACUGUACAGCUGUUUUCUUGUACCUUGGCUCAUUAUGUUUGAUGGCAGUUAAGGAAUUAAUACCUGCUAGUUAUGAGAAAAAUCAUAAAGCCUGCAGAAAAGACCUAAUUUCCCCCCUUUAUGUUUGGUAUUCUAACUGGUGUAGUUUUCAGGGAGGAGGCGUUGGGUGCAGAUGAACCAGUGGCUCAGGCAGCUUGAUUUUAGGAGAUGCUCUUCCUUGAUCUGUGUAGCUCAUGAAGAUAGGCGAUAACAAGUUAAAGAUGUGAUUCUGAAGUUGAGGGCCAUCUUGCUUUUGUAACAUUUUAAUGGCCAGUGUGUUCUGCUAGCAGAUGCUAUUUUUAAUGCAAUGCCGAGAUGAAUUUGUAAUGAUAAUUUUGUUAUUGGCCACGAGUAUGAAAUGCUGCUUCCUUUCUCAUACAGGAUUUUGAGCUUUUAUACACAUACUGGGAAAAAUUAUAUGUUGAACUGUUGACCAUUUGUUCUCUAUUUGAAGCUGGCCCAGGGUAGGGUGAUGGACUUUUCUUUUGUGGGUAUAGUUGAACUUGCCGAGAGACAGAAAAGCCUCGCAUACAGUAUAUUUUUACCCUAGGUGGAAGGGGAAACUAGAAGCGAAAAAGUUAACCCGAAUGUUUGAUAUUUUGAAAAAGUUAACCAGAAAGUUAACACAUUUAUCUUUACCUUCCCCUGCAGAUGUUCUCAAGAACGGUGCAUCUAUUUGCUUGUGGACAAUUCGUUACAAUCAAACCUUUAGCCACAAAAGGUACAAAAUAUUAGUUUAUGUUGUUCUAUCUACGUUUAAUCCUGCAAAUAAGCUCCCAUGUAUUAGAGCUGUUCGAAUUUGAACUUGUUACUAACCCUUUAAUAUAAAAGCAUGGGUGCUUGUACAGAAGUUAGAUGACCUCAAUGUAUAAAUGCAAUAGUCUAUAGUUUUAAACUAGAUAGGCAAUCUGUGCCGCACCAGCCAACCAAAAGAAUUUUAACAUAGAAAAGGGAUCCUUAGGCAAUGAUAGGAAUUUAAAAAAAGUAAAAAACACUCGAGUGAUUAACUUGACUGAAUUUAAUAAAAUUAAGUAAUGUAAUAAUCUGAUUUAAAUUAUAGAUAAUGAUAAUAGACAAAAUUUACAGAAAAUAUUUGGCAACAAUUAGCUAAAACAAAUGAGUCACUGAUAUCAUACCCGAAAGGAAAAAAAAGAAAAAAUCAUUGAAGACUCAUCAUCAUUCUACUGCGGACAUCACCCACCAGCAAAAAACUUGAUAAGACGGUUUAAACCUCACUACAAAAGGCUACACAACGACAUCAAAAGAAGUUGCAUGAGUCAUUAGAGCAACACCCUAGAAAAGAAAACUGAAAAAAACAAAAGGAAGUGAGUAUCCGUUUAUAUUCAUUCAAUCAAUCAAUUCUAUUUAAUUCAAGAAUAAAAUUCAUUCUAAAAAAUAAAUUUAACAAAGAACAAUAAAUAAAAAGACCCGAGAUAACUCAAUUAAAUAAAUAAAUAAACAAGCAAACAAAAGGUGUGGCAAGUUGAAAAAAAAUAGAGUCCAACCUCGAAUUAAAUAAAUGUUGAAAGAUGAAACUGAACAAACAUCAUCUUAAAAACAAGAUUAAAAAAACAAAGCAAUCUCGAGUGAAUCUCAUAAAGUUAGGUUAAUUUCCAAAACUUUCAACCUAUGAAAUUUUAGAUAAUAUUUUAACCAAGAAGUUUAAAUCCAAACUAAUUAAAUGUUAAAGGAUGAAAUAAGGCAAAAGAAAAUAUCAAUCUAAAAAAUCUUGCAAGGGAAAAAAAUAAUAAUCAAAAGAAUAAGGAUAAAAUCCAAUAGGAAAAAAAAAAUAAUAGAGGAUGAAAUCACAAAAAAAAAUAUUCAUUCUAAAAAUUAUCUCAAAUUCUAUAAAUAAUAAUUAAAAGAAUGAGGAUCAAAUUUGAUAAAGCAAAAGAUUGAAUGAGGAUGAAAUCAAAAUAAAAUUUUAAAUUCAGAAAUUAUUUCAAAUAAAACAAAUAACAACUGACAAAAUAAGGACUAGAAAAAAAGAAAGAGAAGUUUAGUAAUUGAUUUAAAAAAGCACAAACAACAAGGAAAAGAGGAAAGAAAAAAAAAAUAGUCAUUAACUCUAAACCAAAAAUCAUUUCUAAUAAAGAAAAUGUUGCGAUGAACUAGAAGCCACCCUGAAAUAAUAAUUUUGGCCACUAUAAUCAUUUACACGCAUCGUUUGAAUGCAGCAAAGCGACGCGCAAAUCAAUGUUUUUUAAAUUACUUUUGAUUUAUGAAAAGACCAAAUUGCCACCACCCCAACCCACCCCAACCCAACCCAUUAUAUAUAUAUAUAUAUAGCUUAACGUAAAAAUACCCUCUGACCAAAGGGUAAAAAUUUAAACUUCAGGGUAGCUAGGUUUUUUUAAUAUACAAGAAAGAUACAAAAAAGCCCUCCACUUUUAGUUAAUUUUUUUUUAUUAUAAGGGUAAAUAGAUUAUUUAACUCUCUACACAUUCUGUAACCCUCAAUUUAUUUAUUUUAAGAGCAGUGAUAUAAACUUAUUGUGCCAUCAAAAAAACAAAAUACCAAUCCUAUCCCAAUCAGUUUAAAAAUACAAAAAUAUUCGUAUUAUUAUAAAAAUGAUUCUACCCAUUAGAUUUUUUUAAAGGGGCAAAGAAGGUGAAAGCUUCCCGUCGACGGUUUUUAUUUAUUUUAUUUUUUUCAAUUUUGUGAGUUGGUUCGAUUCUCUAGCUUCAUCACAGGUGCCAUCGCUGCUGUGUACCCGAGCACAUACCUGUUAUGGCCAUUAAUUAAGCUGCUUCAUUAUCACAAGAGAAACAAGAGAGGGAGAUUUUCUUACAGAGAAUUACAAAAGAGCUUUUCACACCAAUGGUUACAAUGAGUAGGAGAGGACUGGAAAGGGGUUCAGAGGGGGGUCUAUUCCUAUCCCCAAACAGGCAAGAAUGAGCCCUAAUGAAAUUUAAGGCUGGUCAAGAUAUUGUUGUGGACAGGAUCGGCCAGGUGAUCCAGGAGGUUUUGGUAUGGUCCGACUCCGGUCACGAGACCUUGCACAAAGUAACCCAAGAUGGCCAACAUAGCCAACCUGCCAUUCUUCACCUCCUUCAACUUCAAGUCUUUCAACGACUUCUCGUCUUUCCCAAAUCCAAGGGGGUUAAACAAGGGUCCGCCAGGGUAGGCUGGUUCUCCGGACCCACCCAAAUACUUCUCGAAUCCCAGGAAAUACUGCUUGCCCAUGGAACCUGGUUUUGCCCAGUCCUGUAACCUCCUGUGCUCUGCGAAUCCCAUGAGUGCCAUCUCGAAAACAAACAGCGUGUAUGGAUCUGCCCAGUAGCUGUAUGUCCCGGCCGGUGGGAUGACACCAGUCCUGAACCAAGGGAGGGCGGUCUCCGGAGGUAUGAGGCCAGCCUUUCCAAGAAUUUCUGGUGCAAUGGCACCAACCGCCCCCAACAUGGCAUAUCGUCCGUUAAUGAUCUCACCGUAGGCUAACCAUUUUGGCUCAAUGAAACCUCCUGUGCCUUCAGGGUCUGAAAGUCCGAGUGGGUCGAAUCCGAAGUCACCUGGAAGGCUAUAGAGUAGAAAUUUCGAAGAGGAAAAGCGAAUUAGAUGCCGACUUA